Molecule: long non-coding RNA, 78909 nt
Filed under: Nicotiana tabacum (common tobacco)
Lineage: Eukaryota; Viridiplantae; Streptophyta; Magnoliopsida; Solanales; Solanaceae
Description: long non-coding RNA (NTAB_LNC014549)
Source: RNAcentral
ACAUGAACAACCUUAGUUGCGACGAGUAGAUCUGUUAUGAAAUAGCGUAUCGUUUGCGUUCAUUUAACUUUAGAUCAUGCUAAAAGAAAGAAGGAAGUGUCUUAACAUAUCUUUGCAAUCUUCUCUCCAAUCGUCAACCAAUCUCAAUAAUAUCUUCUUACAUCUACAAUGAGUAAACUGACUUUGUCGUCAUCACAUAAGCGUUGUAACUCUCAUAUGUCAAAACCAAUAUUCUACAAGAAAACAGACAGCAUCUCCCCUAUUUGUACUACAUCCCAUAAGUUACUAAAAGUCACCAAAGAUCCCAAACAACAACUAGUAGCUAUAUGGAACACAACCAGUACAAUAACACGUCGAGCGGCAAUCUCGGUUCAUGUCUAAUAACACUAUAUUUUGAACCCUUUCCCUCUUAUUUAUAUUCAGGAAAAUGCUGAUAAUCACAACACAAUAUACUCAGGUUAUUCCAUAAAUUUUCCAGAUACAAACGCUGCAAGAACAUCUCCCAAACAGUCCAACAAUCAACAACAUUACUAACAAGCCUUUCGAUCGAUAUCUCACACGCUCUAGAUUCAACGACUUAGCCGUAACUUGGAUAGGCUUAAAUACAUGUAGAGUAAUAGGUUCCUUACCUUUAAUAAGAUAUAACAACUCCAAUUUGAUCUUAGUUCACCACAAAAUAUCCUUCCAAUGCAGCCACAAGAACAAGGAAGCGAAACUAGCAAUCAAUUCGGGUUUCUCGGCACUAGAAUCACUUUGGAAGACUUGAAAUCACCUAGGAUUGAUAUGAAAACCUUGAGAGAGUAUUUUACAGAAAUUAAACCACUUUAAAAAAACUCCCUACACGAGCUGUAACCACACCAAAAUCAGCAACCACAAGAAGAACAAGAAACUCACUAGCGCCACGGGAUUCCCGUCACUCGAUUUGUGUUGUUUGCCCUUAGUUUGGGUGUUGGAUCAUGAGAGAAAUUUGAGAGAAAGUUUUUAGGCAUCUAGGGUCUGAAGAGAGUGAAAAAUAAUAAGUUAAAACGGGAUUUAGGCAUCACAUAUAUAUCAAGAUAUCUCAACCGCCUAAGUGGAUCCCAUAUAGAGUUGCUUGUGCAGUCUCGCAAAAAUGCGAAUAUCUCUUUACUCCAAUAUCGUAUCAAUAAACGGUUUAAUGCGUUGGAAACUAGACUCGUAGAAUUUCAAAUUGAUAUGUGGAUCACCUCGUAAUUAUUGUUUUAUUGAGAGAAAAUCUCGGCUACAUUUGACCUAAUUAGCAGCACAUUUAUGAAUAUAACUUGUGAUGACCUUUGCCAACUUUUGUUCCACAAUUCGCUUGACUGCAAAACUCAACAUACGACUAUCAUAAGACUAUAAUAACUCAUAACAUAACCUUCUUAUCAUUUUAAGUACCCUAGUCUCACCCCAAAAGUAUAUAUUAUUAUAUUCCCAACUUGUCGACUUUCGACGAAACUUAUUUUCUUCAAUUCGUUUAGCUUCUAAGCCUUCCAACCCUCUUGGUACUUUUUAUUUAUGAUCCUAAAUAUUUGUAACCUCCAAGGUAACAUGAUUAACUUAAUUUAUAUGCUUCCAAAUAUAAUCUAAUUUCUGAGCUUACAUCAAUUGACUUACGGCGUACUCUUACGUACGAAAACAUGGGGUGUAACAUUGACCAAGCGAGCCCGGGGUUGACUUCUGUUGACUUUUUCCAAAAUCAUUAAAGAUUGAAUAUUUUUCACUCGUGGGGUAGUUNNNNNNNNNNNNNNNNNNNNNNNNNNNNNNNNNNNNNNNNNNNNNNNNNNNNNNNNNNNNNNNNNNNNNNNNNNNNNNNNNNNNNNNNNNNNNNNNNNNNNNNNNNNNNNNNNNNNNNNNNNNNNNNNNNNNNNNNNNNNNNNNNNNNNNNNNNNNNNNNNNNNNNNNNNNNNNNNNNNNNNNNNNNNNNNNNNNNNNNNNNNNNNNNNNNNNNNNNNNNNNNNNNNNNNNNNNNNNNNNNNNNNNNNNNNNNNNNNNNNNNNNNNNNNNNNNNNNNNNNNNNNNNNNNNNNNNNNNNNNNNNNNNNNNNNNNNNNNNNNNNNNNNNNNNNNNNNNNNNNNNNNNNNNNNNNNNNNNNNNNNNNNNNNNNNNNNNNNNNNNNNNNNNNNNNNNNNNNNNNNNNNNNNNNNNNNNNNNNNNNNNNNNNNNNNNNNNNNNNNNNNNNNNNNNNNNNNNNNNNNNNNNNNNNNNNNNNNNNNNNNNNNNNNNNNNNNNNNNNNNNNNNNNNNNNUCAUGGUUGAGCAUUGAUUUGAUUGCAGAGUGAGGUAAGUGUUGUGUCUAACCUUCAUUUGAGGGAAUUAGGACUUGUUGAAUUAUUUUUUAUGUGUAUUAAGUGGGGAAGCAGCGUAUAUGUGAGGUGACGAUUGUAUAUGUGCUGUCACGGGAUUUAGCAUGCGAGGUUGGAGUAUUUACUUUCAUGUUUUCAUUUGUUCCAUGUUAUUUCGUGUUAUAUCCUUUAACUGUUACAUGUUUUUGUUGUACCCUAUUUUGACAAGUCAAAACAAAAUACAGCUUAUACUACUCUACAUGGUUAUUUAAAGCUUAGAGUCGCCACCUAGUAUUUAAGGUAUACUAGGACACCUACACUAUACUACUCAAUGUACGCUAAAUUAUGGUCUGUGAAACUAUUGAGAUUCUAGGUAAGGGUUCAAGUUAUCUCGAGGGGAAGGUGUUAGGCAUCCCUCAAGAUCCACAAAAUAUGGUUCCGAUGGACUCAAUCAAAUAGAAGAGGGAUUAAGUGAAAAUGAUUAAUUUUGAUAUGUACAAAGAACGGUAAAGUAGUUUGAAUGAAAAAUGAUUGAACAUGAAUGCCAAGAUAAUAGUUUAUAUACAAAGGGUGUGAAAUACGUAUGUGAAAAAAUAUAUAUUUUGAUGACUUGGUAAAAGGUAAAGAAAAUGUGUAGUAACAAGUAGAGUAUUAAUAAAUUAACUAAACAAAUUGUAGUUAAAGAAUGUACUUGAAAGAAUGUAAUUUAUGUCCAAAGUAACUAUUUUGAGUGAGAGGCUAAUGUAAAAGAAAAGGAAAACAUAUUUUAACAUGGUUGGCCAAAAGCGGGAAAGAAUUACAUUUUUGAAAAUCGGUGCACAAGACAUAAAGAGAAUGUCACGACCCAAAUUUUCCACCUUAGGAUGUCAUGAUGGCACCUAGUCUCUAAGACUAGGUAAGCCUAACAUGCAUAGAGAAAUAGCGGAAAUAAUACUAAACCUCAAAUUAAACCAUUACACUAUUAUAAUAAAACUCAACAGUACAGUAGCCAACACUUCCCCAAAACCUGGUGGAACAGAGUCAUAAGCUUUACAAGAAAGUACUAAUAAUAUGAUACUAUUUUGGGACAAGAAAUAAACAGUAGAAAGUCUAAAAAAUAGAAGAUGACUCCAAGGCCUGCGGGCACCGGGCAGGUAUACCUUGAAUUCUCCGGAAGACAGCUAACAAGUCAAUCAUUAACGUCCAACACCGGCAGAUGGACCUGGAUCUGUACAAAAGAUGUGUAGAAGCGUAGUAUGAGUACACCAUAACGGUACCCAGUAAGUAUCAAUCCUAACCUAGGUAGAGUAGUGACGAGGAUAAGUCAAGACACCUACUAGGACAUAAUAAAUAGAACAAAAAUAUAAUAACGAGAAGUAAUGAAAACGGAGAAAUGAAUGAUAACAAAGCAAUCUGGUAACGUAAACUAAUGACAGAAUUGUAAGCAGAAAGACAACAAGAAGGGCACAAUUAAUGAGAACCUCAAAUAAUCAAAUGCGGACAAACUAUUAUGACAAGGAAACAUAAAAACAACAAGAACGCUUCAACCAAUAACUCUUUUCGAUGUGAAGUGCAAAACAAGAAUCACAUCCGAGGUACUGUCUCGUGUUCAUGUUUCACAAUUUUAAUCACUAUCUUUCCUUAUAUCAUUGCGGGAGCCUCACAUUUAGUUUUGAAAAUCAUUAUUCCCGAAAUAGCUACCCGCAUUUUAGCCCACCUAAUCACACUGCGUGGCUUCAAGUAGUUCCCCUACUAGCAACACGCGUAUCAAGCCCACCUUAUCUCAGUGCAUGCGUAUCAACCCCUAGCCUUAUACCACCGCAUGCGUAUCAAUAUCACAACUCGCACCACAAGUGCCCAUAUGCCACAAACUUGCCAAAAGAAUCAACAAUAUCAAUGUUUUCACAAGAAAUAGCCCAUGGCUCAACCACAAUGUGCACAAGAAUCUCAAUAAUAACAAAAUGAAAGUGAAUUUCUCAACAAGAAAGAUAUCUCAACAAUUAACAACCUCACCUUAAUAUGAUAACGACUUUCUCAACUUUAACACCAAUAAAUCAACAAUAAGAUAUUUCACGAAAUAACAACUUCAAUUACAAUUAAUUCAAUAAAUUUAAAUGAAACAAGGCAAUAACUUCAACUAAGCAUAUGAGAGAAAAAUGACAAGUAAGAGGUAGAACAAGUGUUAACAAUGUCAUAUAAAGCAUGUAAGGGUAGAUUAAUACAUGUAAGAGUUAAUUAACAAUGAGGGAUGUAACAUGUUAUGGCAAUUCAAUUAAAGGCAUGAAAAGAGUCUAAAUAACCUAAACCGGUCAAAUACCACAUAUAAUCCGUGUACGCACUCAUCACCUUGCAUACACGGCUUUCACAUAACAUAAAUAUAAUAAUAAAUCCCAAAUCCUAAGGGGUAGUUCCCCCACACAAAGUUAGGUAAGAUACUUACCUCAACUAGGCCAACUCAACCCUCGAAAAUAGCUUUUCCCCUAAAAUUCGCUUCCACAUGGCUCAAAUCCAACCAAAAUUGACUUAAUAUCAUCAACCAAUGCAAGGGAAACAAUUAAAAUAGAUAAAGCUAUGAUCUUUACACUUUUUUCAAAAAGUCAACAAAAGUCAACCCUAGGCUCGUACGAUCAAAACCUGGGUCCAAUGGUAGAUUCCGAUCACCCAUAACCCACGAGUCCAUAUAUGUGAUUAGUUUCAAUAUCCGAGUCCAAAUAGACUCUCAAAUUCUCAUUUUUCAAAAACUUGGCAAACUUUCCCAAUUUUUUCUCUUUGAUUCACAUAAAUUUGAUGUUAAAUAUAAGACAUAUUCAUGAAAUAUAUUUGGAAAUUGAUUAGAAUCACUUACCCAAUAUUUGUAGAUUAACCCCCCCCCCCCUCUCCAGAUCGCCUCCUACCGAGUCUAGGGUUCUAAAAUAUGAGAAAUGAGACUAAAUCCUGACUUUCCAGCCCUUAUGUUCAGCUGCAGAUGUCACAUUUGCGACAAUGUGAACCCUCACAAUUGUUGACCAGGGAUCACAUAUGCUAACCCUGAUAGCCUCAACAAACAUCACAAUUGCGACAAAGGCUUCGCAAUUGCGAAGCUGGAUAGCUUUGCAAAAGCGACCAAGUGGUCCAGAAUGCGACUCAUGCCCCAGGCCUACUAACUUCACAAAUGCGAAGGGGUAAGUCACAAUUGCGACAUCAAACCACCCCCGAUCACCUUCGCAAUUGCGACAACAAAGCACUAGCACACCAGCACACCAACAAUUCUUUUUUCCAUUCAAACCAUUCUGAAUCACGUCCGAAACUCAUCCAAGCCCUCGGGGCUCCAAACUAAACAUCCACACAAGUCUAAUAACAUCAUACGAACUCGCUCGCAUGAUCAAAAUACAAGAUCACAUCUAGUAAACUUCAAGAACAUCUAGAAUUGCAACCAAGCGUCUGAAUCCUACCAAAUCAACUCCAAUUGAUACCAAAUUUUGCAGACAAGUUCUAAAUAGCAUAACAGACCUAUUCCACGUCCAAAAAUCCAAUUCUAAACCUGAUAGCCAAAAGUCAACCUACAUUCAAACUUCUAAACCCGAGGGCCACUGAUUAGCAUCGCCAGAUAACUCAUCAAUAAUUGUAACUAUCUCCUUUGGAGUCUUCUUCAUCAAUGGGCCUCCAGAUGCAUUGCUCAAUGUUCUACAUGAGGCCGAUGUCAAUCCAUCUCAAAAGUCCUGUAGUUGCAUCCAAAGUUCAAUUCCAUUAUGUUGACACUUUCUAACUAUCUCCUUAAACCUCUACCAUGCUUUGAUAAUAGUCUCGGUCUCUUUCUGGCAGAAGUUAUGGAUUUCUCUUCUAAACUUGCCCAUUUUAGCUCAGGAGAAAUAUUUAUCAAGAAAUUUUCUGGUCAUCUCCUCCCAUGUUCUAAUUGACACCGUGGGUAAGCUUCGAAGCCACUGCUUUGCAUCAUCUUUGAGUGUGAAGGGGAAUGCCCUUAAGUAUACUGCGUCUUGUGACACACCAUUGUAUUGAAAGGUGUUCAUAAUCUCCUUGAAGUCUAUUAGAUAUGUAUUUGGAUCUUUUUUCAUCUUCCCUUUGAAAACAUAGCAAUUCUGAAGGGUUUGAAGCAACCCUUGCUUCAAUUCGAAAUUGUUAGCUGCACUUGGAGGUGCUCUCACACUUGAUAAGCCUUGAUUGUAGAUCGGUCUAGAAUGAUGCCCAGUGAUCUCCCAGGCAUGGGAGCUAUAUUUCCGAACUGGUCUGCAGCCAAGGGUUGAUUUUGAGCAAUUCUCUCACCCCUCUCUCCUUCAUAGAUAAUUUAUGCUUCUCUGAUAGCUGCUUCCUCAGCAUCCCGUGCAGCUUUUUCUCAUUGUUAGGCUGCCUCUCUUGCAGCCAAAUCUACAUUAUCAUCACCGUUUCCCGUCAUAAUUUCCUUGGUUGAGGAUUGCCCAACCCUUUCUAAUGUCUCGGUGAGAUUUAUUGCCUUCCUCAGCUAUAACGAUUAUUUUUCUAUCUCUGGCUUGUAUGGUAUCACUUCUUUCGCAUAAGCUCGAGUCAUGCACCAACCUUAACCUAUAACCUGCGCACAACCAAAGAACACUAAAUGUAAAAAGAGAAAAUAGAAAUAAAAAGAAAAAAAGUCGUGAAUUUGCACUACAAUCUAUUUCAAACAAUAUUGAUUGCCAAUCCCCGGCAACGGUGCCAAAAUUUGACGAGUGCAAAACACACCCUUAAAUUCUUCUCGCUAAUCAAAUAUAGUAUAGUAUAAUAUUGUAUCUACAGGGAUUGGAUUUAAAUAGUAUUCUCGUAGUUUCUAGCUUGGUUGCUAUCCAAGAUGAUCAAAAAUUGAGAUUUAUAAGAUGUCUAACUAAAAUUAACUAAGAAUCUAAACCUAUUGACUAAUGACAAUCGAAACAAGGAAUAAGCAAAUAAAGUUAUCAAUGGGAGAAGAUAGGGUUUUGAUAGAAUAGAUGCAAGAUAAUUGUUUGGGAUCUAACUCUAGAUAAUUCAUUUCUAAUGUUCAAGUGACUCUCUCGAAUUCACUCAAUUAGUAGAUCAAACGUUAGGAAAAACUCCUCUCUCGAUUAAGUCUUAACCUCAAAAGAUGAACCAAUUUAAGCACGCGAAGAUAUGCAAGAAUACGUAAUGGAUUGGUCUUUAGGAGAACCUCUUUCGAUUAUUCGCCUAACUAGGUUUAAUAAAUGAUUCAACUAGCCUCUUUCAAUUACUUAGAAGAAUCUAUGAACUCAACCAAUAAUAUAAUGCAAAGAUAUCACAAAUUAUGCCUCUCUCGAUUACAUGAAUAAGUGAUUAUAGAUGCAAUAAUUAAUUCAUCCAAAAAAUGAUUCAAUACAUAAACUAGAGUUAUAAUCCACAAACAAUCAUCAAUAUACCAAAUCCAUCAAACCCUAAAAAGAACUACUCCAUAGAUAUGGAGGAAUUCAUCACAGAUAAAAUUAAAUUAUAGAAAACAUAAAUUCAAUCCAUACACGGGUCUUGAGUGAGGAAGGAAUGAUGAAAUCCUUAUGCUUGUGUUCUUCCAACUCCGACUUAGCCUUCUCAGGUCCAAAGUAUGUCGAAAGUCCCAAACAUAACAUUUUUUCCAUGUAUUUAUACUAAGUAGGGUUGGGCCCAAAUGAAACCACCUUCUCCUAGCCGAAAUAGGAUAUUGGCUCUGUAAAAAAUACACAGGUGUGUCGCAUGGGGCGACGCGCCAUGCGGGGCAUUAGUGGGGAAAUCUAGAGAGCUCAACAAUUGACAGGCAGUAGGAAAUAGGCAGUUGCAGCGCCCCACAUGCCACGACAGUGGGGUUUUCUCAGAGUACGACUUAAACUUCGAUUUUUGAUGUCUAGACUUGGUUCUCGACCCCCGAACACAAUCCCAGCUUAAUCCCUUGGGCUUUUACUCUGACUUCAAAGCUCCAAAUUGCUCGAAUUCAUUCUAUAAUAUCUACAUAGCUCGGGAUCACUCCUAUAAGGAAUAGAAAACACAGUUUGUGCAAAACACUAUUAAUUAAAGCUCAAACACAAGUAAAGUGCAGUGAAUUAGAGUGCAAUAAACAACUAAACACGAGAUUAUAGUCUACCAUCAACAUCCGCAUGGUACCAUCCUUCUUCUUCACAAACAGAACCGGUGCACCCUAAGGCGACACACUAGGCCUAAUGAACCCCUUAUCAAGAAGCUCUUGAAGUUUCUCUUUCAAUUCUUUCAACUUUGCUGGUGCCAUACGAUACAGAGGAAUAGAAAUUGGCUGAGUGCCCCGUACCAAGUCAAUGCCAAAAUCAAUGUCCCUUUUGCGUGGCAUGCCCGGAAGGUCUGUAGGUAACACAUCCGGAAAGUCCCGCACUACCGGAAUAGAAUGAAUGGUAUGAGUAUCAGUACAAACAUCCCUCACAAAGACCAAAUAUGACAAACACCCCUUCCCAACCAUCCAUUGGGCCUUCAGAUAUGAAAUCACCCUACUGGAAACAUAGUCCAGAGAACCUCUCCACUCGAUCCUAGGUAACUCAGGUAUCGCCAACGUCACGGUCUUAGCGUGACAAUCCAGAAUAGCAUGACAUAGGGACAACCAAUCCAUGUCCAGAAUCACAUCAAAAUCAACCAUACUAAGCAAUAAGAGAUCAACUCUAGUAUCCAAUCCCUCAACGGUAACCACACAUGACCGAUACACUCGGUCCAAAAUAAUAGAAUCGCCCGCCGACGUAGAUACAUGAACAUGCGAAACUAAGGACUCACGGGGCAUAUCCAAAUAUUAGCAAAAUACAAUGAUCAUAUGAAUAAGUGGCACCAGGGUCAAAUAAUAUCGAAGCAUCCCUGUAGCAUACUGAGACAAUAUCUAUGAUCAUUGCGUCUGAAGCAAUAGUCUCUGGCCUAGUAGGGAAAGCAUAGCAUCGAGCCUGACCGCCACCAGACCAGCCUUCCCCUUUAGGGCAACCAGUAGCUGCCUGAGCCCCACCUCGAGCUAGCUGAGCGAGUGGUGAAGUAACUAGUGCGAAAGUCAUAACCUGACCCCUCUGCUGAACUGGACCUCCAAAAUGAUAGGGACACUAACUCCACACAUGUCCAAACUCCCUGCACUCGAAGUAGCUCUGAUCCGCCAAUGGUGGUGGAGACUGAAUCGAACCAUGAGAACCAGUAUAGCUACUAGAAGAAUCCGGUACAGAUGACCCUUGAACUGAUGGAGCACGGGAUGAACUCAGAGCUGGGAGGGAACUAAGAGAUGACUGACCCGGACGAGCACUCUAUGAACCAUGGCUAGCCGAUGCACCACGAUGAACCGGACGAGCCAUUUGAGCGGGCCUAUAAGGAUGACCCCUAUUGUGGUGGAACUUCCCUCCAGAAGAAACACCGCUGAAACCACCCGAACCACGAGGCCUCUUGGCCUCCCUCUCCUCAUGCUCCUGACUAUGGACCUACUUUAGUCGCCUAACAAUAUCAACUACCUCAUCAAACCUAACACCUGAUGCAAUCUCUCGAGUCAUGAUGAAGCGCAGUCGAUAGUUGAGGCCAUCAAUGAACCUCCUAAUCCUCUCCCUCUCUAUGGGAACCAACUCGAUCGUGUGAUGAGCCAACUAUGAAAAUCUCAUCUCAUACUAGGUCACGGAUAUACCCUCUUGGCGUAGCUUCUUAAACUGCCUAUGUAACUCCUAUAUGCGGGUCUGUGGAACAAACUUCUUUAAGAAGAGAACUAAGAAAUCAUGCCACGUAAGUGGUGUAGUGCUGGCUGUCCUGCUCAACUCAUAGGCCUCCCACCAUCUGAAGGCUACCCCCGAUAGCUGAAAAGUAGUAACUGAGACUCCACUAGUCUCCAGAAUACCCGCUGUGUGAAGGAUCCACUGGCACCUGUCUAAGAAAUCUUGAGCAUCCUCUGACUCAGCCCCACUGAAUGUUGGAAGCCUGAGCCUCCCAAACUGCUCUAGCCUCUUUUGCUCCCCGUCACUCAUAGGUGGACCCACCUGGGCCUGAGAAACUAUAACCGGCUGGGCUGGUAGUACCCCUGAUGUCUGAAGUCCCUAAACCACCUGCUCUAGAGUACGGGCGAAGGGAGUAUGAGCACCUCCCCCGGCCUGAGAAGUGGCUAGUACAGCCUAAACUGAAACCGCCUGAGCAAGGCUAAUGCAUAAAGUCAAUAUCUGGGCCAAAGUUUCCCGAUGGCCUGGAAUCACAAUGGGCACAGCUGGUACUUGAGCAUGUCUCACCGGCUCAACUACAGAUGGUAUCUACUCCUAAGCUGGAGCAACUGGUGGCUCCACAGGUGCUGCUCUAGCUGCUGUAUGAGCGGCACCUCAGCCUCUACCAUGACCCCAGUCUCUCGUGGCCCUAGCUGAUGGUAUUGGUGGCCAUUUGCCUGAUCCGGUAGCGCGUUUCCGCACCAUAUGUGAGAGAAUAGAGUAAUAGAAGUUUAGUUUCCGAAAUCAACAAAUCCGCAAGGCAAGAAUACACGAGUGAAGUUUCCUAAUGAUUCGGUAGCCUCUCGAAGAUAAUUACAGACGUUCCUAUACCGAUCCGCAAGACUCUACUAAACCUGCUCAUGACUCAUGAGACCUAUGUAACCUAGGCUCUGUUACCAACUUUUCAUGACCCAAAUCUCAACAUGUCGUGAUGACGCCUAUCACAGUACUAGGCAGGCCAAGAAUCACAAAAUAACUACUCAUUUUGAAUUAAAAUCAUGAUGUAAUAAGUUUAAUUGUAAAAAUCUCAUAAAUAACCGAUAGGAACAACCGCGACUCAACUACAAAAUCCCCAAAAUAUGGGUAUCACCGAGUACAUGAGCUAUUAAAUGUCAACAUAGUCAAAAACUUCUAAUAUAAUUGUCUGGAAAGAUAGAACAGUGCUAAAUAAACUGAAAAGAAGGAGAGUUGAGGUCUACGGAUCCCAUAGCAGCUACCUCACUAGUCUCCAAGCAGGUAAUGCUCCAAGUCUUGCAACCACCGGGUCCAGAUGCACCUGUAUCUGCACACAGAGUGUAAUAUGAGUACAACCGACCCAGUGUACUCAAUAAGUAAUAGGACUAACCUUGGGCUGAAAGCAGUGACGAGCUAAAAAAGGUACAAUCCAAAUACAGAUAACAAAAAUACAGAUAUAACAUGAAAAUGACAGUAAUGACUCAGAGAAAUUUCAUAAUCAGUUUAUACAUAGUACAAAAAUAUAGACAUGCUUUCAAGUUCAACAGUUUAGGCUCAAUACUGAUAAAAUAUGCCAAGUAUAACUAGCAAAAGGAAUGUUACAUCUCUAUGUCUACAUGUCAAAUAUGCAUGUCAACUGUAAUGCAACAUAGUGAUAAAUUCAUAUACUCAUACUCUCGGAGUAUUCAACCUCACUCAGCACGCUCAAUCACUCAGUACUCCCAAUCACUCAACACUCUCAAUCACUCAGCACUCGCACUCGGCACUCGAACGGUACCUGUGCUCACUGCUGGUAUGUCAGAAUCAGGAGGGACGAAUCCUGCCAAAGCGCUAAUAUAAGCCAACAUGGCAUGCUACGGCGUGUAACCCAAUCCCAUCAUGAAUCAAUAAAGUCUGCUACGGCGUGCAGUCCGAUCCCAUAAAUAUCACUCACACUCAGGCCCUCGGCCUCAACUCAGGCAUCAAUCUCUCCACUCUCUCGAGCUCACAAAUCUCGUGCAAAUCAGCCCAAAUAAUGAUACAUGAUGUAACAAUAAAUGAAAACAGAAACUGAGAUAUGAUAUUCAAAUGUUGAAUGUGUCUGCGUACAUAAUUACAAUUUAAACAAAUAACUCAAAAUCAUAAAAGACCUCGAUGGGUCCCAACAGUAUCAGCAUAUAGCCCAAACACGAUUUCUAGCAUGGAUCACAGCUCAAUUUCUCUAACACAUGGAGGUUUCAUGAAUAACAACAAGAUUUGAUAAUUACACAGUACCACAAAAUCAACCGAAUCACAAUUACCAAGGUGCCCGCACGCCCAUCACCUAGCAUGUGCAUCACCUCAACACCAAUCACAUAACACGUAGUUCACAAAUUCAUACCCUCAGUACAAAGUUUAGAAGUAUUACUUACCUCAAACCGUGCAAAUAAUAACUCCAACAAGCCAUUGCCUCGUGAUUCAGCCCCCGAACGACUCGAAUCUGGCCACAAACAACUUAAUAUAAUCAAUGCAAGCUAUAGGAUUUGAUUCCAUACGAUAAAGCUAAGUUCUUUAACCAAAGUCAACAAGUCAACCCAAAAAGUCAACCACAAUCCCAUGUCUCGGAAUCCAACUAAAUUUAUAAAAUCCGAACACUCAUUUAAUAAUGAGUCCAACCAUACUAAAAUCAUCCAAUUCUGACCUCAAAUCGCCUUUCAAAUCCUCAAAAUAUAGUUUAUGAUGUUUCAACAAUUUUUCCCAAUUUUUCCAACCCAAAAUGCUAAUUAAAUGGUAAAAACAAUGAUAGAUUCAUGUAUAUUAACCAAAUCCGAGUUAGAAUCACUUACCCUAAUCAAUUCCUUGAAAAUCCCUUCAAGAACCGCCUCAAUCCGAGCUCCCGAAGUCUAAAUGUGAAAUAAUACUCUAACCCUCAUUUUUAAAAUUAAAUAUCUGCUGCCCAGACGUCCUUCUUCGUGAACGCGGAAAGUGCCUCGCGUUCGCGAAGCAAAAAAUCCUCAACUGCCCAAAAUCCUCUUAUGUGAAUGCGAGACCUCCCUCACGAUCACGAUGACCAAUGAUCCCUUGACUAUGCGAACGCGAACCAACUCCCGCAAACACGACAAGCCUGGUGCCCAACCUGCCUCAUCCUUCUACGCGAACGCGAGUCCUCUCUCGCGAUCAAGAUGCACAAACCCCUUAUACCUUCGCGAACGUGAAGCACAAACUUCCCUAGUCAACCAGAUACAAUUCACGAAUGCGAACAAGGAAACCAAACACCAGAAAUUCUACAUCUCAAAAAGGCCAAACUCAAUCCGCAAUCAAUCCGAAACUCACCCGAGACCCCUGGGACCCCAUCCAAAAAUAACAACAAGUCCUAAAACACGAUACGAACUUAAUCGAGGCCUUAAAUCACAUCAAAUAACAUCAAAAAUAUGAAUCGCACACCAAUUCAAGCCUAAUGGAACUAAUGGAUUUCCAAUGUCUACACUCGAUGCAGAAACCUAUCAAACCAACUCCGAUUGACCUCAAAUUUUGCACACAAGUCAUAAAUUAUACAACGGACCUAUUCUAAUUUUUGGAACCAAAAUUCGAGCUCAGUAACCACAAAGUCAACUCUCGGUCAAACUUCUCAACUCUCCAAACUUCAACUUUUCCAACUUUCGCCAUUUCAAGCCAAAAUCACCAACGGACCUCCAAAUCAAUAUCCAGACACACUCCUAAGUCCAAAAUCACCAUACAGGGCUAUCAGAACCAUCAAAACUCCAUUCUGGAGUCAUUUACACGUAAGUCAAUAUCCGGUCUAACUCUUCCAACUUAGACUUCCACCCUUGGGACUAAGUAUCCCAAUUCAUUCCGAAACAUCUCCGAAACCAAUCCAACCACCCCGGCAAGUCAUAUAAUAACAAACGAAUAUAAAAUAAGCGAUAAAUGGGAAAAUUAGGCUAAAAUACUCAAAAUAAGCGGCGAGCUCAUUACAUCAACAGAUUUUUAACAAAGAUUAGAAUAACAAAAAUUUCAUCACGAAAACUAUGACAGUAGCAAAAUGAGCGGGAAGGACUUCCCCUGAAAACUAUAUAGGUUGCCAGAAAAUUAUAGGCACAAGAUUUAUUGUCAAAAAAAUGAUAGUAAACAUUCAGGAAUCCGACAAUAAUGAUCGACAACAGUGGACUAUUGGCGUUACUUUGAUGAGGAAUUCCGGAACAACACCUAACCUCAAAAAUACGUCGCUGGCAUUUAUUUUUUUCCGGCCAAAGCUCGAAGGCAGCAAGGAGCGAGAUAUGGUCGCUAGUGAAGGUCAUUUUUUCCAACCAGAUCUAUAUAUUUUUAGUUAGAUCUGAGUGAACCAUAACAGUCACCGGAAAAGCUAUAAGCAAAUGGAGAUGAAGAUGGUCAGUGAUGUAGAGGGAGGUCACCGGCCCGGGGGUCAAAUCCGACGGUGGAGUUACAACAUCGUGGGGAAGGGGGGCUGGGCGUGUUUUCUCAAAGUUGAGAGAAAUCAGAUGGAAGAUAAAAGGGGGAGGCCUCUGAAAAUGGAGCUAAUGAGGGGAAUGGACAGCCUCAGGCAAAAAUGAGGGAGAGAGAUUAUUUGUUUUGGUGGUAAACAAAUCUGAUGUGUUCCUUAAAAUAUAUGAGUGUGUAAAAAAAUCGCAUAUGGUGAAUGUGUAGAAAAGAUAUGUGGCUAUUAUUGUAAGUAAAAAAUAAAGACAAUGUAAAAAUAAACAUGUGGCCUAAAAUGAAACCACUAACUAUGAAAACUAUGGGCAAAGUACCGUGUACCCUUUAUUUUUCUGUGUAUGCACAUGUAUAUCGGUGCAAUUUAUUUGACUUACAAAAGAAGACAAACCGAUGAUCUUUACCUGUUGGGUAGAAGGUAUACGCAUUGGACAAAAUACAGUCAUGUCACAUCCUAUGACGUGUCACAUCAAGUAUAAUGUCAUACAAGUCACAUCACUUGUCAAGUCGCGCCAGGAUGUCUUGUUACAUCGAGUGUUGAUGCAACAUUGGAUUUGAUUGGGUUUGAUCCGUAUUUUUGAAUAAAUUCUACCGGCUUCCAUAUAAUCACUAGACUGUUCUAUAGAUUAAAAGAUCUCAUAGUAUUUAGUUAAAAUUGUAACUACUACGAUGACGUAGUAAAUUCUUGUUUAUUUUUUGAAGGACAAUAAAUUGAUAAAAUAUCAUAAUAUUUGAAAAAUAAGACAAUUAUCAAUAAAUUGUUUGAUAUUUAGAAAAAUGCACAAAAAUAGUAGUAUUUAACCAAUUGUAAUAAAAUGAUAAAAAUUCCUAUAUUUUAUAAAAAUGGGAAUAAUUAUCAAUAACUUUCAUUACAGUUAAAAAAUGUGCAAGAUACUACAUUUUAUCAUUUUUUGAUUAGGAAGCCUGUAGAAGUUAAUUUUUAAAUACGGAGGGUCAAAAUCGAGUGUCAACUACUGUCCCUCUUUGACCGGAGAUGAUAUAAGAGUCUUCGGGCAAAAUAAUUGAUAUCAUACUCAAUUUUGACCCGACAUGACAGAGUGGGGGGGAUGAUGAGGUUUUGAAGAUUGUGAUUGAACUCUGGUAUUUGUGUCACCUACAUAUCUCGGGUUGCACGAGAAUCAAGUCGCAUGUAGUUUCGGAAUGCAACUGAGUGCUACUUUUGGAUUGUAGCCUCAUGGGGUGGAAGACAAAUGUUCAAGGACGAAAGGAUUCGUGUGAUCUUGACAUUGCUUUCAAAAUUGCCCCAGUGUCGGGUUGUGGUAACACUGGGACGUGGUGUUGAAUGGACGGAUAUAUUGAUUGAAUGGAUUUUGAUGUGGAUUCGGCCAGGCUCUGUGUUGAGUUUUCCUACAUAUCUCGGAUGUAACGAGAAUCAGGACGAUUGUAGUUCGAGAAGGGGAUGGGAUGAUUUUUAAUUUUUAGAUUUUGAAAGUUGUGCCAGCUUCAAGCUGUGAUGAUACUGGGUUUAUUAUGACUAUGACUUGGAUUACCUACACAUCCCAUGUUAAUAGAACGUAAGAACGAUACUUAGGACAUGCCGUCUAUUGUUGUUGGAAAGCUCGACAUCCAUCCUCAAAAUCUGCCACAGUUUAUUUGCUAGAAAAUAAUUCCACGUUGUGGCAGGUCUUUAAUCAAUGGAGUUGAUGAUGUGUGGACUAUGCUUCUGUUUGAUUUGAGGAAGAUGGAUUGUAGUGGCUUGAGCGCUGAUUGUAUGUGACGAUGAUUUUUUUGAAUGAAAUAGGGUCCCAGGUUGAAGUCUAAUUCGAAAGAGGUUCGGGCUAAAUACCGGUCUGAAGUGAUCGGAGCACUUUGGAUUUUUAAAAGAAAUCCGGGUAGGCUACCGGUCUGAAGCGAUAUGGGAGCACUUUGAAUUAUUGAAGAAAAUCCGGGUUGUGUACCAGUCCGAAGUGAUCGGAGCACUUUAUUUGAAGAAACCUGGGUUGUGUACCGGUCCAAAUCAUAUCAGAGCACUUUGGAUUAUUAAAGGAAAUCUGGGUUGUGUACCAGUCCGAAGCAAUAUCAGAGCAUUUGAAUGAAAAAUGGAAAUUCGGGCUGAGUACCGGUCCGAGGCGAUAUCAGAGAACUUGAAUGUAAAACCAGCUGGUAGUUAUGGUUCCGAAGUGAUAUCGAAUCAUUUGAAUCUAAGAUACCCGUAUUGGAAGGUGGGCGCCUGUAAAAUUGAACUUGAAAUAAAAUGCCCAUUGUUCAGGAGGGCGCCUGAAAAAGCAAGAAGUUAUUUUUUUCUAUGUAGGAAAAUUAAUGAAAAGGGUUCUGUUAUUAAUGACUUAGUAAGGCAAUAGAUGCAAAAGGCUAGAAUUUGGAAAUGAUAUGGCCGGGUCUGACUCAGACUGCAUAUGUAUCCAAAUGGAAUCAGGCCAAAAGGUUGUUCUAUUAUGAUAGAUGAUUGAAUCUGAUGUGGAUUUCCUACGUAUUCCUACCAAAGGAAAUCAAGUCGCGACGUAGUUCUGAAUGUAUAGAAAUGAUAUUUUAGUUUUCUAUUAAGAGAGUGGGAUCAGACCCUACGUGGGUUGCCUACGUAUCCUCCCGUGGGAAGUCAGGUUGGGCGUAGUUCUGCUACAACAAAACCUAACGUUAUUGUCAACAAAACAUGACUCUUUUGUUUUUUUUGUGUUUUUUUGCUGUUUUGUAGCUUUUGUAGAGAAUAUUUGAAAAUUGAGAAGUAAUGAAAGACUGUGAUUUAUUGACUGGUCAUCAUUUUUAACUUGACUUUGGUUGGUACCAACAAUUAGUUUUAUACAUAAGAAUUUCCACCAUAUACUUUCCGACAAACCGAGAUCAGCUUAUGGGUAAUUCCUAUAACCUCGAGUGGUACCUCAGAUAUACCCAAGUUCGACAAGAUUUGUUCGUCUUGCUUCAAUCAUAGGUUUUGAAUUCCGCCUAUACUCAUGUUUCAAGUGCCUCACAACAAAGAAAGUCUUAAUUUGUGCAUAUUUAUGAAGUAUUUAUGUUUUCUUUUUAGGACAUUUUUGAGAACUACACUCACGCUCAAAAAGAUGUUCAAUGCAUGCGAUUGAGAUACCAUAUGCUUGACCUUUAUGUAAGUAUCCACUAAUGUGAGAACACUCGAAAUAGUAUCAUGUAGGGUUUUGCUAUUAGCUUAUAAUGUAGGCUUGGGGAUGGGUUAGAUUAUUAUUUUGGGAUAAACUGACUGAUCCUCCUUGAGUGUUGCAAUGUGUCUGUGCCUUCGGUAUUCAAACCAUACUUCGACGCUUGAUCUUGUUCGGCUCGAUGUCUCUUUCUUUUGUUUUGACUUCUUUUUUAACUUGUCGGAGGUUCUUCUUCCUCGAAACUUUUUCCUUUUUUUUCUUUCUUUUGAGAUUUAACCUGCUUUGCAAGAGUUUUUCCUUCUUUUGUUGGAAUUCCUCCUCUUUGAGUUUGUAGAGUUUUCUCCUUUUUGUUGGAUUUUCCCUUGAAUUUGCGGAAGUUUUCUCCUCCUUUUUGGAUCCUCCAUUUGAAUAUGCAAAGUUUUCUCUUUCUUUUCUUGAAUUCAUAUCUUUAUUGCCUUGGACUUUGCAUCUAUCGCUUUUCAUGCUUGUCGCCUCCACUUUGGUCUUCAUCCGAAGUUACACGUUUUCAGUGCGCGCAAGGAGGUUGGGCCAAGAGAGGGGUAGUGCAUUUAAGAACAAGAAAGGGAAUAGGCUAAGAUGUGGUUUUCUAAGGAAAAGGCUUAAGGCUCAAAGGGAAAUUACUAGGGAUUGAUGUCAUUCGGUGGGCUCGAAAGGAUCAAACGGGUCAAAGAAGGCCUACGAUCCUUUCCUAAACCAAGCAUCACUCAGGAUUUCUCCCCAACAAAUAUUCGGGCUAAGUUCUAGAUCAGCAAUGCAAUGUCAUGAAUUUUAAUCUAAGGCUCGCCACACAAUGCACAUGAAAUGAUGAGGUCGACUUUGUUCUUACCCUAACAGUAAGCACGAGAUUUUUCAAGUGUCACUACUGCGUAAUUGAGAGGUACCACAGGAAUCUAUGGUUUACCCAAAGCUGAUCUUCUCUAUCAUACUACUUUUAACACUCUUUCUUUCCCAUGCACACUCCUAACUAUAUUGGUACUAACCAAGUCAAUUUUUGAUUUUUUUUUCUAAUUUUGACUUAAUAUAUAUAUAUAUAUAUAUAUAUAUAUAUAUAUAUAUAUAUGUAUUUUGACUAUCUAUUGUUUUGGUUUUAGAAAAGAGANNNNNNNNNNNNNNNNNNNNNNNNNNNNNNNNNNNNNNNNNNNNNNNNNNNNNNNNNNNNNNNNNNNNNNNNNNNNNNNNNNNNNNNNNNNNNNNNNNNNNNNNNNNNNNNNNNNNNNNNNNNNUUGGUUUUUUGAAAAAAGAGACCGAACCCGAAGGUUGCCUACGUAUCUCGUUAAAAGAGAAUCAGGUCAAGCAUAAUUCAGGAGAUUAGAAAAAAAAUAUUUUUGAUUUUCAUCUCAUUUCAUUUUUUUGAAAUUUUGAAUUAAUCAUUUUAUUUUAUGAUUUUUUAUAAAAAGAAUUAAAUGUAAAAUGAGCUUUGUAGUUACCAUUCCGAAGCGAUAUCAAAACAUUGAUUGUUAGACGGGCUUUGUGGUUACUGUUCCAAAGUGAUACUGGAGCAUGGAAUGUUAGACGGGCUUUGUAGUUACCGUUCCGAAGCGAUAUCGGAGCGAUGAAAGAACUGUAAAUCUCCACAUGAUGGAGUAUUCGACGGGUUGUGUAUUGUUCCGAUGCGAUAUCAGAGCAUUGGCAUGAAUGUAAAUUUCCGCAAGAUGGGAGUGACGGGAAAGAUAAUUCGAAUCUCCAUGCAAUAGGAGUAUUCGACAAGCUAUGUACCAUUCCGGAGUGAUAUCAGAGCAUUGACAGAAAUGUAAAUCUCCGCGCGAUGUGAGUGACAGGAAAGAUAAUGCGAAUCUCCACGUGAUGGGAGUAUUUGAUGGGCUGUGUACAGUUCUGAAGCGAUAUCGGAGCAUUGACAGAACAGUAAAUCUCCACGUGAUGGGAGAGAUAAGAAUUGAAAAACUCCGCACGAUGGGAGUGGCUGAAAUGUAAUACCUUCACGCGAUGGGAGAGACAAGAAUUGAAAAAUCUCCGCACGAUUAGAGUAUUUUUUGAUUUUUUGAAAGAUGAGAUCAAACCCGAUAAGGGUCCUUGAUUGAUUUUUUUUAUUUUUUUAAAAAGGGGACCGAACCCGAAGGUUGCUUACAUAUCUCAUUGAAACGAGAAUCAGGUCAGGCCUAGUUGGGAAGAUUGGAGAGUAUGAGAUGUAUGGGUUCCAACACUUCUUUUACUCUCCUACUUUGAAGGAAUUACAACUAACAACAUUAAUUGCAUCAAAGACAUGUAGGAAGUGCAAGAGUAUAGACAAACUCAGAGAAAUGCGUCGUUGUACCUUGAUUGGGUGCGGUAUCUCUGAUGGUUCCAGAAAUAAUUUUGUCCCUCCUAUGUCCAAAGAAAAAAUUUCAAUUCAUGGGAGGAAAAUUGAUUAAUGUUGACUUGAGGCUAUGCUUGUUCAUCCUUGUCUGUCCGAGUUGCACGAGCAUGACACUUCUCGAAUGCUGACUAACAACCUGCCUCUACAACAAAGUGGGUUGACUUGUAUCGAAUCUUUGAAUUUUUAGAGUGGGAGUGAACACCAUGACUCCAUAGCCAGAUGUUUGAAGAAAGGACUUACAUCCCGUAUGUUGUCAUUUAAGUAAAAUGAGGGUCAGAGUAAGGUUGGCAUGGUGUUUUGAUGUUGGGAUUUUGGAUGAAAUUUGGUUGACGCUCUCGGAGAUUUUUCGGGAUUGAGAGCAUCAUUGCAUUGUUCCAAAAGAACUGCCUCAGUUUUCAAUACUGAGGAAAUUUAUUCGAAAAAGUAGGGAGACCGAACCCUUAUUGUAAGGCCCCGUAAAAAAUGAUUUCUAAUGAUUAAGACUUUAUAAAGCACAAACGAUAAUUGGGAAUAAUAUUUUUUUGAGUAAUAAAGGAGAUCUAUUAGAUAUAACCACAUCAUUUUGACAUGAAAAUACAAAUGGAAAGUGUUUUGGAACAUAUUAAGGAGGUUUGUAAGUGGAAGAAGUUGUUUGGAAUGAGUUGGAAAUAUUAAGUGGAAAAUGUAUCUUAAUUUGCACAAUACCUGCCUUUGAACGAGUAUAACUCUCAUAAUAUAAAGAUAUUUUCCAUGAAUUUUGCCCCUAAAGCGUAUCCCUCCGAGUCUAUUUUCAAAAGCAUCAACCCGUUUGUCAUUUGGACAUUCCUACUAAAAGUUAUGAUCAAAUUACUAAAGUAAGACCACCCAGUUAUUUUGGCGGACAGCGAAGCAAGGCUUGCUUCACCAGAUCGGGCGCGGAUCAUGUAUUCCCUUGCAUGCAGUGGAUAGCGAAGUGAGGCUUACUUUGCCAGACUGGGCACGCCCCAGCUUAAGGUCCUUUUAAGUCAUUUUGGGGGUUCAUUUCCUCCAUUUCACAUGGAUGAAUUUUGGAGCUUUCCUCCACUCUCUCAAGACCCCCAACUCCUCCCAUCUUCAAGUUAAGAAAUACCCAUUGUCUUGGUGUGAAUCCUAUCAUUUACACACUAGAAGUAACUCAAUCCACCAUGAAAUCGUUAGAUUUUCAAGAAAUUUCUUCAAGAACGCAAGGGAUGGUUUUGAAAGAUUUCUUCCAAAAGGUAAUCCUACACCCUUAGACUUACAUGCAUGUAUUAUUAUGGGAAUAUGAGUAUGAAUUAAGUAUUGGAACUCAUGGGAUGGUGAUUGGAAGCCAUAAGUUCCCAAUUUAAAUACAUAACCAUUGUAGAGAUCGAAAGGUGAUUAUUUGAUGGAAUUUUGUUGGUUGGGUGUGGAUGGAUGGUCAUACAUGUGAUGUUGGAAGUUAUAAAUUGUUUAAUAAUGAUGGUGGGAUAAAUUGUUGGUAAAUGGUAGUAGUUGGAUUAACUAAUUCUAUGGUUAAGAAAUGUAGAGAUUUAUGCCUACUAGGUGUUUAAUAAAAUGCCUAAAUUAUGGAAUUUGUUACUAAUAUUAGUCCCAUUGGAUGUUGUUAUUGUAGAUUGAAGUUUCUUAGUGUAGUGGAUCAUUGUAGUGUCAUUAAGGGGGCGAAUUUGAGGUAUGUUGGCUAAACGUCUCUCUUAGAAUUGAAUCCCAUGAUGUUCUCAUAAGUCUCAAGUAUGAUGGGCCAAUUUCUUAUUUCUCAUGUGCCGAGUUAUUCAUUAUAAAUUUGACUAUUCCAAAUAAGCUUUGUGUCGAAAGAUGUAAGUUCAAAAUGUGUUCCAAUGCUCUUGUUAUAUUAUGUUAUCAUUUGAGAAUAUGUUCAAAGUAUGUGUGGUGUAUUAAAAUGUUAUGACUUCAAGUCGUGUUCCAAAUGAAAGUUAUUAUGCCAAAAUUGUGGAAGAAAACUCCAUGUGCUUAAGGCUCUUAAUUGUUCAUAUGUGUACUUAAAGUCUUGAUUUGAUAUGCCUUGUUGUUGAUAAUCCAUGAUGGUGCUUGAAAGUGAAAGAGGUGAGCAUGAAAUAUGAAAUACGGUCAACGUGCCAAGAAUGAUAUUACAUUUGUGGUCACUAGUGCCAAUGAAAUUGAAAGGCAUGUGAAAAAUAUACAUUUUGUGAGUAUCGUUAGUCACCGAGGAAGGGUAGGUCAAAAUUACACGUGCCGGUGUAGGAGUGAUUGAGGGGCAAAUCCCCGAACUGAUAUGUUAUGAAUAUUCCCCUUAAAUGGGAUGAGAUUGAUGUGUUGAGAUUAUUCCCCUUAAUUGGGAUAAGAUGAUUGCUAGCGGAGGGUGAUGUCAAUCCACACAGCAUUGUGGUGAGACGGCCUAGCCGAUCGGGUCAAGAUCGGACACCAUGCCGGGCGUGGUGGUGAUUGUGAUUGUGAUUGGAUGUCUUUGGGUGAGACGGCCUAGCCGAUUGGGCCGUGAUCGGACUCCGUGCUAAAGUCAUGGUGGUAUAUCGGUACUAAAGAUCUCCCAACCUAAAAUAAUGAAAUUUACUUGAAAACUUAACUUGCUCCUAACUUGAUGCUUUGGUAUUGUUUGAGGCUUCCAUUCAUUCUAUGAUUUGUUUCUCCUUGUAUGGUUAUUCAUUCUACUGAGAGGGUGUUUAGUCUUACAUACUAGUACUAUUUCAUAUGUACUAAUAUCCCUUUUUCUGGAGGCGCUGCAUCUUUAAUGGAUGCAGAUGGUUCCACAGCAGGCAGCAUUGAUCAGUAGUAGCGGUACACCCUCUUCCCAGCUAACUUGGUGAGCCCUACUUCAUUUCGGGGUCAUGUAUCUUUUGUUUCUCAUGAAUUGUGUUUUGAGGUAUAGCCGGGGCCUUGUUGCCGGCACAAUCAUAGUACUCUUUUGUAUUCAUUAGAGGAUACGUAGACAUAUUGUGGGUUGUACCUUGGUUUUGGGAAAGUCAAGCUAAAGAUGUUGUAAUUGUAUCACCUGUUUCCACUUUUAAACUAUGAAUGUGUAAUGUAAUAUUUUGGAGACUUAUAAAUAACGUAACUAAUGAUAAUAAAUUGGUGUUGUUCACAUGAUCUUCUCAUUGUCCAAUCAACAAAAUUUAUCUUCUCUUUAUUCAUGGGUAUGUUCGGGUAGAAGGUAUCGUGCAAGCUUGCUUGACUGGGGUAUCUCGGUUGAGCGCUGGUCGCGCUCCCCGAGGUCGGGGCGUGACAAACUUGGUAUCAGAGCCUAAGGUUUUAAAGUGUCCUAGGAUGUCUUGGAGUCGUGUCUAGUAAAGUCCUUCUUAUCGGUGUGUUGUCGACCACAUCUAUAAUUAGGAGGCUAUUUGGGCAUUUAGGAAUGUUACCCUUCUUCAACUCUCUAGAUCGUGCGAUAGAGCUUGUCUAUAAGAUUGUCUUCUAACUCGUGCGUUAAGGUUCAGGGUAAGUCUAAACGCUCUUCUGUCUAUUCCAAGUAAUAUUGUCAUAUGGCAUGACAAAUGGGAAAAGGCAUGAAUAUUAAGAAGAUGGCACAUGCAUCAUGUUGAAUGAAUGGUAUGGACAUAUAAGAUAAGUAUAUAGUAACCGGAGCAUACUUUAUACGAGAAAAGUGUUAGAAGUGAUUACAUACCUCCAAAGAGACAUUGGCAUGGUAACUGAGAUCUAGGCUUAACUAGUACAUGUAGAUAGUGUGGGAACUAUGUAUAUGACCUAAGAUGUUAAAGAAAAUUUGUUACAUAGGCAUGUGAUAUAUGAAAGGCAUAACUUUGAGGGUAAUGACGAUAGUGUAGGUCUCUCACAGGAGACAAGAAGUUAUGAAAGAGAUAAUGAUGAGUUCUUUAUGCCCAUAUGUGACUUGUUUGGCAAUGAUAAGUCUAAGGAGAAAAAAAAGGAACAUCAAACUAUAUGUAAUAAGAUGACUCUUAGUGUAUAAAGAGAGUCAACUGAACUCACAAUGAGAAGACCCUUGCACCAUGAAUGUUAUAAGUGUCCCAGAAAUGUACGGAGAUGUGUUACACUCCUAAAAGAUAUUGACAUGAGGAUUUUGGGUCCCAAGCUUGUGUGGUUGAAUCAGAGUUGAUCACUUAUGAGGUUAAUACCAUGGUGACUUAAACCUCCCUAAUAGUCGAUAAUAUACAAGAGGACUAGAGAUAUGAAAAAUAUGUCCCUCAAGUUGCUAAGUUCAAGACUUGUGUCGAAAUCUGGAACAUUCUCCCAAGUGGGGAAGGAAGGGCCAUAGUGAGGCUACUUAAGCUCAAUAAAACAAGAGUGAACCAUGUAGCUAUGAUGUUUGAAUAUUUUAUUGAACACAUGUGUAGUCUAGAAAAGUGGUAAAGGUUAAUGUUAUGCUCUGAAAAGAUACGUUAAUGAUAGACCACUAGUACACCCAAGAAUGUGGAAGGUUAAGAAAGGUAAAUUCUCCAUACAUGACAAUGUACAUGACAUGGUCAAUGAUCCUAGGAACUAAGGGAGAGAAAAAGUGAUAAGUGUAAGGUUUGCAAGAGUGUUUUAUACUAGUCAGAGAGUCAAAGACAAUGGAACCCAAGGAAGUACUAUAGAUCAAAUGUGAAAGGCUUGUGAUGCUCAGGGUGAGUUAAUCAAGGAUUUUCGAUUUAGCUAAAGUUCCAAGACUCUAAGAAAGACGGAACGAGUGUGAGAAAUAAAUUUGAUGCUCUAAUAACCCAAGAGUGCAUUUGGACUCUAUGGAGAGCCUCUUAAGAAUCUUGCAAGCAAGGAAGUGUUAAGUGAUACAUGGAGGAACACACUUUCUCAGGGGUAUCCCAACAAUUAUCGAGAGGCUAGCAUGAUGAAUUCACAACUAAGGGAAAGGACCACGUAACAUAUGGAAGAGUGAAUAACUAUUCACUAACUAGGAAGAAUGAGGCAAGAAGGAUUAGAAGAAAAUCUGUAAAUUGAGGUGGUCAUAGUUAUCGUACAACAGGAAGAGUAGGUCAAAAUAACCUAACCUCGAAACUACGCGUGCCGGUGUAGGAGUGAUUGAGGGGAAAAUCCCCGAAGUGAUGUGUUGAGAAUAUUUCUCUUAAAUGGGAUGAGAUUGAUGUGCUGAGAUUAUUCCACUUAAUUGAGAUGAGAUGAUUGCUAGCGAAGGGUGCUGUCGAUCCACACGGCAUUGUGGUGAGACAGCCUAGCCGAUCGGGUCGAGAUCGGACGCUAUGCCGCACGUGGUGGUGAUUGUGAUUGUGAUUGGAUGUCUUUGGGUAAGACGGCCUAGCUAAUCGGGCCAUGAUCGGACUCCGUGCUAAAGUCACGGUGGCAUAUCGGUACUAAAGAUCUCCCAACCUAAAAUAAUGAAAUUUACUUGAAAACUUAAGUUGCUCCUAACUUGAUGCUUUGGUAUUGUUUCACGCUUCCAUUCAUUCUAUGAUUUGUUUCUCCUUAUAUGGUUAUUCGUUAUACUGAGAGGGUGUUUAGUAUUACAUACUAGUACUAUUCCAUAUGUACUAACGUCCCUUUUGCCAGGGGCGCUGCAUCUUUAAUGGAUGCAGGUGAUUCCACAACAGGCGGCAUUGAUCAGUGAUAGCGGUGCACCCUCUUCCCAGCUAACUUGGUGAGCCCCACUUCAUUUCGGGGUCUUGUAUCUUUUGUUUCUCAUGUAUUGUGUUUUGAGGUAUGGUCGGGGCCUUAUCGCUGGCACAAUCAUAAUACUCUUUUGUAUCCGUUAGAGGCUCAGUAGACAUAGUGUGGGUUGUACCUUGGUUAUGGGAAAGUCAAACUAAAGAUGUUGUAAUUGUAUCACUUGUUUCCACUUGUAAACUAUGAAUGUGUAAUGUAAUAUUUUGGAGACUUAUAAAUGACGAAACUAAUGAUAAUAAAUUGGUGUUGUUCACAUGAUCUUCUCAUUUUCCAAUCAACGAAAUUUAUCUUCUCUAUAUUCAUAGGUAAGUUCGGGUAGAAGACAUCGUACAUGCUUGCUUGAUUGGGGUAUCUCGGUUAAGCGUCAGUCGUGCUCCCCGAGGUCGGGGCGUGAUAUUAUGUAAGGUUACCUACGUAUCUUGUUAAAGCAAGAAUCAGGUCGAAACGUAGUUCGGACCAAUUACUGGAAUUAUGAGAUCCGUAAAGUUGUGAUGAAUACAUGAUUGUUCCUUGAGAAGGAAUGUGAUUAUGAAUGAGAAUCCUUGGAUGGGUGUCACAACCCAAAAUCACAACCUAUCGUGAUGGCACCUAACAUACUUGCUAGGCAAACCGACAAUCACAUAACAACUAACCAAUUGAAUGGAACAUGCUUUAAUAAACUCGACAGUGGAAAGAAUCUUAUAAAUAUAGGAUAAGAGUAACUGAAACUCUACUACAACCAUCCCAAAACCUGUUGUCAUCGAAUACAUGAGCACUACAACAUUUCAACAUAAGCAAACUCUAGUACAACUGUCUGAAUAAUAGAAUAGUACAGAAAAGCAUGAAAGGAAGAAGGGUCAGGGUCUGCGGACGUCAUAGCAACUAGCUUAAAGUCUCCAAGCAAGCACCGACAAUGAUCUAGCAAUCACCGCAUCCAGAUGUACUUGAAUCUGCACACGAAGUAUAGAGUGUAGUAUGAGUACAACCGACCCAAUGUACUCAAUAAGUAACAGAACUAACCUUGGGCUGAAAGCAGUGACGAGCUUAAAAGGAUACAGUCAGAACCAAUGUAUUGACAAAACAUAUAUAGUAAUGAGAAUGACGGUAAUAACUUGGGGAAACUUCCAUAUUCAGGUCGUUCAUGGUACAAAAAUUUAGACAUGCUUGCAAGUUCACCAUUAAAGGCUAACACGGAUAAGAACAUGUCAAGUAUAGCUAGCAUGAGGAAUGAUACAUCUCUAUGCCUACAUGCCAAAUAUGAAUGUAAAAAGUACGGUAUCACAGUGAUAUUCCCAGGUGCUCACACUCUUAGUGUGCUCAAUCUGUCUAUCUCAUAUUCCCACUCACCACACAUAACCACUCAGCAGUGUACGGGUGCCUCGUAUCAUUGCCCAUCACCAAAGCACGUGUAUAUAAAUCACUAUGCCUGCGCUCACUGCUGGUAUGUCAGACUCCGGAGGGACGGACCCUGCCCAAGCUCUAAUAUAAAGCCUAUAAGGCCUGCUGUGCCGUGCAGACCGAUCCACAAUAAUAAAUAAGCCAAUAAGUCUUGUUGCGGCGUGCAUCCUGAUCCACAUUAACACUCUUAACUCGGCUCUCAGGCCCAACUCAGUCAUCAAUCUCUCAAGUCUCAAGGGAUCACAAUCCCAUACUACUCAUCCCAAGCAAUAAGAACAUGUAAUGCAACGGUAAAUGAUAACGGAGACUAAGAUAUGAUAUGCAAGUAAAGGAUUAUGAAUGAGCACACAAUUGCAGUUAAAGUAGAUAACUCAAAACAACAGAAAUAACCUCACUAGGCCUCAACCGAAUAAACACAUAUCCUUAACAUGUUUUCUAACAUGAAUUACAGUCCAAUUACUCAAACAAGUAAGGAUUUCAUGGAUAGAACAAGACUUGAUGACAACACAGUCCAAAAGAAACAACUGAAUCAUGAUUUACCACGGUGAACGCCCACACUCCCGUCACCUAGCAUGUGCGUCACUCCAACACAACCAUAUAACACGUAUUCCAGGGAUUCAUACCCUCAGUACCAAGUUUAGAAGUGUUACUUAUCUCAAAGUAUGCAACUCAAUGCUCCAACAAACCCUUGCCUCGCAAAUCGGCCUCCGAAUGACUCGAAUCUAGUCACAAACAAUUUAACAGAAUCAAUACAAGAUAUAGGAAUCAAUUCCAUAGAAUAAAGCUAAGUUAUUUAACCAAAUUCAAAAAGUCAACCCAAAAAGUCAACCUCGGGCGGGCCCAUGCCUCAGAACCCGACAAAAUUCACAAAUUCCGAACACUUAUUUAAUAACGAGUCCAACUAUACCAAAAUCAUCCAAUUCCAAUCACAAAUUGAACCUCAAAUCUCCAAAUCUUACUCUCCAAUACAUAGACCAAAAAUCCUCCAAAUUGCACCUCAAACACACAUAAUCUAGGUAUAAUAAUCAAUGGGUAUUCAACAUUAAUAAACAAAAGUGAUCAAAAGUUGCUUACCCCUUGAAUUAUAGUGAGAUCCCUCUCAAAUAUCGCCACUAGCCGAGCUUCAAAGGUCCAAAAAAGAAGAAAAUGGCUAAAACCCUCGACUAUAUCAUUCUGCCUAGCGAUUCUCGCUUCUGCGGGCUCAUCAGCCGCACCUGCAGCUCCACUUUUGUGGAAAAUACUUCGCUUCGGGUAAAAUUCAUUAAAAUUCCCGACCAACCGCUUCUGCGGCCAAAUCUCGCUUCUGCGAGUCCGCUUCUGCUGUCCAAGACCUGCACCUGCGGGACCGUAUUUGCAUAUCACCUCCGCUUCUACGACCCCAGCUUCCCCUGCCCAAUAUCCACAUCUAUGGCAGCUUCUUCGCACCUGCGGGCUCGCAGAUGCGGAAACUACCUCGCACCUGCGGCCACUGCCAAACCUAGCCAAACCCCACAUCUACGCCUUCCUGGCCGCUUCUACGGCUCCGCACCUGCGGCCAAUUCCUCGCAGGUGUGGUUACACCAGAACUGAACCCAACAGAUUUUCUCCAAGUCCAAAGUCCAAACUUCAUUCCGAUUUCAAUCCAAAUCACACCCGAGGCCCCCCAGGCCCUAUCCAAAAAUACCAACACGUCCUAAAAUAUGAUACGAACUUAGUCGAAGCCUAAAAUCACAUUUAACAACAUCAAAAACACAAAUCACACCCAAUUCAAGCCUAUUGAAACUAAUUGAUUUCCAACUUCUAAAACCAAACCCGAUCAAACCAACUCCGAUUGACCUCAAAUUUUGCACACAAGUAAAUGACACAACGGACCUACUCCAACUUCCGAAACAAAAAUCCGAGCCCGGUAUCAACAAAGUCAACUCUCGAUCAAACUUCUCAACCCUCCAAACCUUCAACUUUCCAACUUUUGUCAAUUCAAGCCAAAAUGACCUACAGACCUCCAAAUCAAUAUCCGGACAUACUCCUAAGUCCAAAAUCACCAUAAGAAGCUAUUGGGACCAUUAAAAUUCUAUUCCGGAGUCGUUUACCCAUAAGUCAACAUCCGGUCAACUCUUUCAAUUUAUGCUUCCAACCUUAGGACUAUGUAUCCCAAUAUAUUCUGAAACAUCCCCGGAACCAAACCAAACACCCCAGCAAGUCACAUAACCAUAAAUGAACAUAGAAUAAGCAAUAAAUGGGGGAACAGGGCUACAAUACUCAAAACAACCGGACGGGUCAUUACAUUCUCCCUCUUUUAAACAAAUAUUCGUCCUCGAACGGGUCUAGAAUCAUACCUAGAAUCUCAAAUAGGUAUGGAUAUCUGCUCUGCAUCUCCCUCUCGAUCUCCCAAUUAGCCUCCUCGACUAGAUGGCCUCUCCACUGAACCUUCACUGAAGCUAUAUUCUUUGAUCUCAACCUUCGAACCUGCCGAUCCAAAUUGGCCAGCGGCUCCACAUCAUAAGCCAAAUCUCCAUCUAACUGAACUGUGUUGAAGUCCAAAACAAGAGAUGGAUUACCAAAAUACUUCCGGAGCAUGAAAAUAUGAAACACUGGGUGAACACCCGAUAGACUAGGUGGCAAUGCAAGCUUGUAGGCCAUUUCUCCAAUCCUCUGAAGCACCUCAAAAGGGCCAAUAUACCGAUGGCUCAACUUAUUCUUCUCCCCGAACCUCAUCACACCCUUCAUGGGCGAUACCCUGAGAAAUACCUUCUCUCCCAACAUAUAUGCAACAUCGCGAACCUUCUGAUCGGUAUAACUCUUUUGUCUAGACUGUGUCGUGCGAAGACGAUCCUAAAUCAACUUGACCUUUUCCAAGGCAUCCUGAACCAGAUCCAUGCCCAACAACCUAGCUUCUCCCGGCUCAAACCAACCAACUGAAGAACGACACCGCCUCCUAUAUAAGGCCUCAUAAAGAGCCAUCUGAAUACUCGAUUGGUAGUUGUUGUUGUAGGCAAACUCUGCAAGUGGUAGAAACUGAUCCCAAGAACCCCCGAAAUCCAUAACACAAGCGUAUAUCAUAUCGUCCAAAAUCUAAAUGGUGCGCUCGGACUGUCCGUCCGUCUGGGGUGAAAUGUUGUGCUAAACUCAACCCGUGUGCCCAACUCUCGCUGUAUUGCUCUCCAAAACUGCGAUGUGACAUGUGUGCCCCGAUUAGAAAUAAUGAACACCAUCACACGGUGUAGGCGAACAAUCUCACGGAUAUAAAUAUCAGCCAGCCGCUCUAAAAAAUAGGUAGUCACAACCGGAAUGAAAUGUGCGGACUUAGUCAACCGGUCUAACCACCCAAAUAGCAUCGAAUUUCUUCAAAGUCUGUGGGAGCCCAAAUAUGAAAUCCAUGGUAACACGCUCCAAUUUUCACUCCGAAAUCUCAAGUUUCUGAAGCAAACCGACCGGCCUCUGAUGCUUGUACUUCACCUGCUAAUAGUUCAAGCACCGAGCCACAUACUCCACUAUAUCUUUCUUCAUUCUUCUCCACCAAUAGUAUUGCCUCAAGUCCUGAUACAUCUUCGCGGGAUGCCGGUGAAUGGAAUACCGCGAACUGCAGGUCUUCUCAAGAAUCAACUCACGUAACUCAUCUAUAUUGGGCACACAAAUCGACCCUGCAUCCGUAACACCCCAUCAUCUCCAAUAGAAACCUCAUUCGCAUCACCAUGUUGUAUCGUGUCCUUAAGGAAAAAGAAAUGGGGGUCAUCAUACUGACACUCUCUGAUUCGCUCAUAUAAGGAAGACCAAGAAACCAUGCAAGCUAGAACCCGACUAAGCUCCGAAACAUCUAACCUCAUGAACUAAUUGGCCAAAGCCCGAAUAUCUGAUGCUAGCAGUCUCUCGCCAACAGGAAUAUAUGCAAGGCUACCCAUACUCAUAGCCUUUUUAUCAAGGCUUCGGCCACCACAUUGGCCUUCUCGAGAUGAUACAAAAUGGUGAUAUCAUAGUCUUUUAACAGCUCCAACCAUCUCCGCUGCCUCAAAUUUAGAUCCUUUUGCUUGAACAAGUGUUGUAGACUCUGAUGAUUUGUAAAUACCUCACAAGACACACCGUAGAGAUAAUUCCUCCAAAUCUUCAACGCAUGAACAAUGGCUGCCAACUCUAAAUAAUGACGGGGUAGUUCUUCUCAUGGGGCUUCAACUGGCGUGAAUCAUAAGAAAUCACCCUACCCUCCUACAUCAAGACACACCCAAUAUAAUCUGAGAAGCAUCACAAUAUACUGUAUAUGAACCUGAUGUUGAAGGUAAAACUAGAAUUGGAGUUGUGGUCAAGGCAGUCUUGAGCUUUUGAAAGCUCUCAUCACACUCAUCAAACCACUUGAAUGGGGCACCCUUAUGGAUCAAUCUAGUCAAAGGUGCAGCGAUGGAUGAGAAACCCUCCACAAAACGGCGAUAAUGAUCGGCCAAGUCAAGAAAACUCUGAAUCUCAGUAGCUGAAGACGGUCUGACCUAACUCUGAACUACCUCAAUCUUGUUCGGAUCUACCUUGAUCCCCUCACUGGAUGCCACGUGCCCCAAGAAUGCCACAGAAUCAAGCUAGAACUCACACUUGGAGAAUUUAGCAUAAAGCUUCUUCUCCCUCAAUGUCUGUAGUACAAUCCUCAGAUGUUGUGCAUGCUCCUCCUGCCUGCGUGAGCACACUAGUAUAUCAUCAAUAAAUACUAUGACAAAAGAAUCAAGAUAUGGCUAGAAUACACUGUUCAUCGGAUACAUAAAUGAUGUUGGGACAUUGGUCAGCCCAAAAGACAUCACAAGGAACUCGUAGUGGCCAUAGCGGUCCUGAAUGUCAUCUUCAGAAUAUCAGAAUCUUGAAUCUUUAACUAGUGAUACCCAGACCUCAAAUCAAUCUUAAAGAACACUCUCGCACCCUGAAGCUGGUCAAAUAAGUCAUCAAUGUGCGGCAGUGGGUACUUGUUCUUAAUUGUAACUUUGUUCAACUGCCUAUAAUCAAUGCACAUCCGCAUAAUAUCAUCCUUCUUCUUCACACAUAGAACUGGUGCACCCUAAGGCGAUACACAAGGCCUAAUGAAUCCCUUAUCAAGUAGCUCCUAAAGCCAGUCUUUCAAUUCUUUCAACUAUGUUGGUGCCAUAUGAUACAGAGGACUAGAGAUGGGCUGAGUGCCCGACACCAAGUUAAUACCAAAAUCAAUGUCCCUGUCGGGGGGUAUGCCCUGCAGGUCUGUUGGAAACACAUCCGGAAACUCUUACACCACCGAAACAAACUCAAUGGUAGGAAUAUCAACACCAACAUCCCUCACAAAGGCCAAAUAUGCCAAACAUCCCUUCCCAACCAUCCGUUGGGCCUUCAGAUAUGAAAUCACUUUAUUAGGAACAUAGUCCAGAGAACCUCUCCACUCAAUCCUAGGCAAUCUCGGCAUCGCCAACAUCACGAUCUAGGCGUGACAAUCUAGAAUAGCAUGACAUGGUGACAACCAAUCCAUGCCUAAAAUCACAUCAAAACCGACCAUACUAAGCAGUAAAAGAUCAAAUCUUGUCUCCAAUCCCCCAAUAGUCACCAUACAUGACCGAUACACACGGUCCACAAUAAUAGAAUCAACCACCAUCAUAGAUGCAUGAACAGGCGUAACUAAAGAAUCAUGGGGCAUAUCCAAAUAACGAGCAAAGUAUGAUGAUACAUAUGAUUAAGUGGAACCAGGGUCAAAUAAUAUGGAAGCUUCUCUGUGGCACACUAAAACAAUACAUAUGAUCACUGCGUCUCAAGCAACGGCCUCUGGCCUGGCGGGAAAAGCAUAGCAUCGAGCCUGACCACCACCUGCUCAACCUCCUCCUCUAGGGCGACCUCGAACUGCCAGAGUCCCACCUUGAGCUAGCUAAGCGGAUGGUGAAGUAACUCGUGCAGAACUCAUAGCUUGACCUCUCUGCUGAACUAGGCCUCCCAUAAGACGGGGACAAUACCUCCUCACAUGCCCCAACUCUCCACACUCAAAGCAACCUUGAUCCGACAAUGGCGGCGGAGAUUGAAUCGGACCCCGAGAAUGAGAAUAACGACUAGAAGAACCUGGUACAGAUGAACCCUGAACCGAUGGAGCAUGGGGUAAACUCUAAUCUAGAAGGGCACUGAACGAUGACUGACCUGGACAAGCACUGUAUGAACCAUGGCUAACUGAUGCACUACGAUGAACCGGACAAGCCAUCUGAGCGGGCCUAUAAAGAUGACCCUUGCUGUGAUGGGACUGCCCUCCAAAUGAGGCACUGCUAAAACCACCUGAACUACGAGGCCUAUUGGCCUCCCUCUCCUCACGCUCCUAACUAUGAGCCACCUCUAGGUGUCUAGAAAUAUCAACCACCUCAUCAAACCUCGCACCCGUCACAAUCUCUUGAGUCAUGAUGAAACGUAGUCCAUAGUUGAGGCCAUCAAUGAACCUCUUAAUCCUAUCCCUCUCAGUGGGAACCAACCAUACCGCGUGAUUAGCCAACUCUAAAAAUCUCAUCUCAUACUGAGUCAUUGAUCACCCUCCUAGUGUAGCUGCUCAAACUGCCUACGUAACUCCUCUUUGUGAGUCUGUGGAACAAACUUCUCUAAGAAGAAAACUGAGAACUCAUGCCACGUAAGUGGUGCAGCGCCGGCUGGCCUGCUCAACUCAUAGGCCUCCCACCAUCUGUAGGCUACCCCUGUCAACUGAAAAUUAGUGAAUGAAACUCCACUGGUCUCCAAAAUACUUGUCGUGCGAAGGAUCCGCUGGCACCUAUCUAAAAAAAUUUACAUCCUCUGACUCGGCCCCACUGAACUCUGAAGGCUUGAGCCUCCCAAACCGCUCGUCUCUUCUGCUCCUCAUCACUCAUAGGUGGGCCAACCUAGGCUCGAGUAGCCGCAACCGGCUGGGAGUGUAGUACCCCUGGUGUAUGGAGUCCCUGAGCCACUUGCUCUGGAGUACGGCGGCGGGAGUCUAAGCACCUCCCCUGGCCUGAGAAUUGGCUGGUGCAGCCAGGAUUGAAACCGCCUGAGCAAGGCUCGUGUAUACAGUCCAAAUCUGGGCAAAUGCCUCCUCAAGGCCCAGGAUCAUAAUGGGCACAGCUGGUGCCUGAGUUGGUCCCACCAGCUCAGUAACAUCUGGUAUCUGCUCCUCAGCCGGAGCAACUGGUGGCUCCACAAGUGCUUCUCUAGCUGUAGUACGAGCCACACCUCAGCCUCUACCGUGGCCCCGACCUCUCGCGGCCUUAGCUGGUGGUAUUGGUGGUCGUCCUCCUGACUCGGUCACACGUGUCCUCACCAUCUGUGACAUAAUAGAAGAAUAGUAAUUCAAAUUCCGGAUUUAACAAAUUUGCACGACAAGAAUACAAGAAAGUGAAGUUUCCUAACGGUUCUGUAGCCUUUCGAAGAUAAGUAUAGACGUCUUUGUACCGUUCUGCAAGACUCUAUUGAACAUGCUCAUGACUUGUAAGACCUAAGUAACCUAGUGCUCUGAUACCAACUUUUCACGACCCAAAAUCCCAACCUGUCAUUUUUUCACCUAACACACUUGCUAGGCAUGCCGACAAUCGCAUAACAGCUAAACAAUUGAAUGGAACAGGCUUUAAUAAACUCGACAGCGAAAAGAAUCUUAUAAAUAUAUGAUAAUAGUAACUAAAACUCUAAUACAACCAUCUGUCAUCGAGUACAUGAGCACUACAAUAUUUCAACAUAAACAAAACUUAGUACAACUGUCUGAAUAAUAGAAUAGUACAUGAAAGCAUGAAAGGAAAGAGUAUCAAGAUCUGCGGAUGUCAUAGCAGCUACCUAGAAGUCUCCAAGCAAGCACUAACAAUGAUCUAGCAAUUACCACAUCCAGAUAUACCUGGAUCUGCACAUGAAGUGCAGAGUGUAGUAUGAGUGCAACCGACCCAAUGUACUCAAUAAGUAACAGAACUAACAUUGGGCUGAAAGCAGUGACAAGCUUAAAAGGAUACAGUCAGAACCAAUGUAUUGACAACACAGAUAUAGUAAUGAGAAUGAUAGUAAUAACUCGGGGAAACAUCCAUAUUCAGCUCGUUCAUAGUACAAAAAUUUAGACAUGCUUGCAAGUUCAUAAUUAAAGGCCAACACGGAUAAGAACAUGUCAAGUAUAGCUAGCAUGAGGAAUGAUACAUCUCUAUGCCUACAUGUCAAAUAUGCAUGUCAAAAGUACGGUAUCACACUGAUAUUCCCAGGUUCUCACACUCUUAAUGUGCUCAAUCUGUCUAUAUCAUAUUCCCACUCAUCACACACAAUCACUCAACACUGUAUGGGUGCCUGGUAUCAAUGCCCCUUACCAAAGCACAUGUAUAUAAAUCACUGUGCCUACGCUCACUGCUAGUAUGUCAGACUCCGGAGGGACGGAUCCUUCCCAAGUGCUAAUAUAAAGCCUAUAAGGCCUGCUGUGGUGUGCAGCCCGAUCCACAAUAACACUCUUAGCUCGGCUCUCAGGCCCAACUUAGUCAUCAAUCUCUCAAGUCUCAAGGGAUCAUAAUCUCAUACUACUCAGCCCAAACAAUAAGAACAUGUAAUGCAACAGUAAAUGAUAAUGCAGACUGAGAUAUGAUAUGCAUGUAAAGGAUCAUGAUUGAGCACACAAUUGCAAUUAAAGCAGAUAACUCAAAAAAACAGAAAUAAUCUCACUAGGCCUCAACCAAAUAAACACAUAGCCUAAACAUAUUUUUUAACAUGAAUUACAGCUCAAUUAUUCAAACGAGUAAGGAUUUCACGAAUAGAACAAGACUUGAUGACAACACAGUCCAACAGAAACAACCCAAUCAUGAUUUACCUGGUGCACGUCCACAUUCCCGUCACCUAGCAUGUGCGUCACUCCAACAUAACUAUAUAACAUGUAUUCCAGAGAUUCAUACCCUCAGUACCAAGUUUAGAAGUGUUACUUACCUCAAAGUGCGUAACUCAAUGCUCCAACAAACCUUUGCCUCGCAAAUUGGCCUCCGAAUGAUUGGAAUCUAGUCACAAACAACUUAACAUAAUCAAUACAAGCUAUAAGAAUCGAUUCCAUAUGAUAAAGCUACUUUCUUUAACAAAAUUCAAAAAGUCAACCCCGAGCCCACGCCUCGGAACCAGACAAAAUUCACAAAUUCUGAAUAAACAUUCAAUAACGAGCUUCUACGAGCUCACCAGUCGUACUUGUGGCUCUACUUUUGCGGAAAAUCCUUCGCUUCUACGAAAAUUCAUUAAAAUUCCUGACCUGACGCUUCUACGGCCAAAUCCCGCUUCUGCGGGUCCGCUUCUACGGUCCAAGACCCGCACCUGCAGGACCGCAGCUACGUAUCGCCUCCGCUUCUGCGACCCCAGCUUCCCCUGCCCAAUAUCCGCAUCUGCGGCAGCUUCUUUGCACCCGCGGGCUCGUAGAUGCGGAAACUACCUCGCACCUACGGCCAUUGCCCAGCCUAUUCAAACCCCGCAUUUGCACCUUCCUGGCCACUUUUGCGGCUCCACACCUACGACCAGUUCAUCGCAGGUGCGAUUACACCAAAAUUGAACCCAGCAGAUUUUCUCCAAGUCCAAACUUCAUUCCGAUUUCAAUCUGAAUCACACUCGAGGCCCCCGGGACCCCAUCAACACAUACCAACACGUCCUAAAACAUGAUACAAACUUAGUCGAAGCCUCAAAUCACAUCAAACAACAUCAAAAAUACGAAUUGCACCCCAAUAUUAGCCUAUUGAAACUAAUGGAUUUCCAACUUCUAAAACCAAUGCCGAAACCUAUCAAACCAACUCCGAUUUAUCUCAAUUUUUGCACACAGGUUAUAAAUGACACAGCGAACGUACUCCAACUCCCAAAACAAAAAUCUGAACCCGGUAUCAACAAAGUCAACUCUGAGUUAAACUUCUCAACCUUCCAAACCUUUAACUUUCCAACUUUCGCCAAUUCAAGCCAAAACAACCUACGGACCUCCAAAUCAAUAUCCGGACAUAUUUCUAAGUCCAAAAUUACCAUACGAAGCUACCGGGACCAUUAAAACUAUAUUUUGGAGUUGUUUACUCAUAAGUCAAAAUCUGGUCUACUCUUUCAACUUAAGCUUCCAACCUUGGGACUAAGUGUCCCAAUUUAUUCUGAAACAUCCUCGAAACCAAACCAACCACCCCGGCAAGUCAUAUAACCACAAAUAAACAUAGAAUACGCAAUAAAUGGGGGAACAUGGCUACAAUACUCAAAACAACUGGCCAGGUCGUUACAGUGGGUGGGUGAAGACUGGUAAGUUUUGAAUAACAGAUAAACGAUAGCAUAGCGCAUGAAUCUGUCUCAAAUAACAGAAGUCGGUAAAAGUGUGAAGUAUGAUUGGGAAGAAUACGUCAAAUCAGUGGAGGAUGUAUCAAGCUAGAUUGACGUAUCUUUGAAAAGGAUAGUAGACUCCAGAUGAUGGUAUGAUUAUGGAGAUGGUCAUGAAGACUGGAAUAGGCAUGUGUAUUUGAAAAAUUCAAGGUUCAACAUAGUUCAACCAAAGUUUAGUCAGACAAAGAAAACCUAAUAGUGGAUAACAAAUAGAAUAUACAUGUAAUAUAUAAAUUAUACAUAACAAUUGUAGGCAAAGAAUAUAUAACAAAUAUACAAAGGAUAUGUAGGAAGUAAAGGAUAUGCAAGGAUUAAUUCAGUUAAAGCAAGGUGCAAGAUUGUGUGUAUAGUGACCUUGGAAUUCUAAGAGUAGAUUUACCUAGAUUUGAGCAUGAGUUUAGGACAAAUGCGAGAUGGUAUGUAUUUAACUCGUAUGCCGAUCUCUGAAACUAGAGAUUUUUGAAAGAAUGUUCGGAGGGGUGAAAAGACAACCCUCGCGUGACUUGUGUGUGAUUGUGCACGACCAUGAGUCGAUAGAAAAGUGUUGACAAUUUAAUAAGGCAGUACCAGAGAUAUGUAUGGAAGAAUAUACAACACAGUCAUAUGUAACAGAAUAUACAACAUAGACAUUGUCUAUGUGGAAAGCAUAUACAACAUGAGCAUGACAGAGAAUACACUGCUUGAAGCGUGACAAAGAAUAUACCGCUUGAAGUAUAUAACAAGAAUAUACUGCUUGAAGCGCAUGACAAAGAAUAGACUACUUGAAGCAUGCGAUGAAUAAUAUACGAUUUGAAGCAAAAUAAUAUGCAACUUAAAGCAAUGAAUAUACAGCUUGAAACAAAGAGUAUACAACUUGAAGCAGAGAAUAUAUGACUUGAAGCAUGUGAUAGAAAGAAUAGAAGUUAGAGUAUCAGAGAACCUGUAAUUUCUCAAGUAAUUGAUCAAGUCUGCUUUGGUUAGAACCUAAAGUAUCCCCAGUAGAGUCGCCAUAUUGUUGUACCCUAUUUGUACAAAUCAAAAGAAACUACAACUUAUACUACUCUACAAGGUUAUUUAAAGUUUAGAGUCACCACCUAGUAUUUAAGAUAUAGUAGGACACCUAUACUUUACUACACAAUGUACACUACAUUAUGGUCUGCGAAACUAUUGAGAUUCUAGGUAAGAGUUCAAGUUAUUUCGAGGGAAAGGUGUUAGGCAUCCCUCAAGAUCCACAAAAUAUAGUUCCGAUGGACUCAAUCAAAUAGAAGAGGGAUUAAGUGAAAAUAAUUAAUUUUGAUAUAUACAAAGAACAGUAAAGUAGUAUAAAUGAAAAGUAAUUGAACAUGAAUGCCAAGAUAAUAGUUUAUAUACAAAGUGUGUGAAAUACGUAUGUGAAAAAAUACUUGGUAAAAGGUAAAGAAAAUGUAUAGUAACAAGUAGAGUAUUUAUAAAUUAACUAAAUAAAUUGUAAUUAAAGAAUGUACUUGAAAGAAUUUAAUUUAUGUCCAAAGUAACUAUUUUGAGUGAGUGGCUAAUGUAAAAGAAAAGGAAAACUUACUUUAAAGUGGUUGGCCAAAAGCGGAAAAUAAUUAUAUUUUUGAAAAUUGGUGCACAAGACAUAAAGAGAAGAACUUGGCAUUUUGAAGAGUAAGUUAAGUGAAAAGUGAACAAUGUAUGUAUUUGACUAAAGUACAAAAUGUAAUAAAGAAUAAUAAACAAUAAACAAGACAAGGUUAAAUGAUAGACAAGCAUUAUGUCUUACACUUUAAUUUAAUAAAUAAAGUAUGAAAGAAUUUCGUUUUUAAAUGAAUGAACCUGUAUAAGAAGUUGGUUAAAGAAAUAAAAACAUAAGAGAAUAUGUAAUGAUAAGUGGAAUAUUUAUAAAUUGACUAAAUAAAUAUUAAUUAAAGAACAUACUUGGAAAGAAUUUGGUUGAUGUGCAAAGAUUAACCAUUUAAGUGAGAAUCUAAAUUAUUAAAAAAAAAAAUUACCUUAAAUGAUUGACAAAAGUGGAAAAACAAUAAUCUUUAAACAACUUUAGCAUAUAAUGAAUAAAGUAAAAGAAUUAAUUUGAUGAAUAAAGAAUGAAUGUGGUAUAAGAAAAUGUUUAAAAAUGUUUAUGACAUAGAAAAUGAUCCCAUCAAUACAAAAACAUAUUUGCGGUAAAAAUGAGUUAUCAUUCAAUGAAUAACUAAAGACCAUCUCUAGAGCCAUGGUCUUGAAACACAAAUUAUGUGAGCCAAGCUCAAAUGACUACAAGGCUCAAGUCUCUCAAAGAAUGGUAUAAUAAUUUAGUUACAACUUUACAAAUUAUGUAUCAAUUAAAGAACAGUUUACAUAUAAAGUGGUUUGAAAAGGUCCUCAUAUAAUUUUAAGACAAAAACAAAAUUAUUUAUUCUAUUUCUUGGAGGAAGAUGACAUGUUUUAUUUUAAUGUAAAUGACUAAUUUAAUUAGUUAGGUAUACACCGAUUCUAAAUUAAUUAACCAUGUUACAAAAUAUAUUCAACAUCCCAUACAAACAUCAAAAAUUACUUAACACACAAUUAAUCCGAUUAUUAACUAGAUACAAUUUUCUAAGUGUUUAGCAAAUAACUAAUAUCAAAGUAAACAAACAAUACGACAUAAAUCUAUGUUUUUACUAUACUUGCAAUUUUGAAUACAUCCUAAAAUAGGAAGUGCGAAGCGGAAAGCUUGAUGGGGAAUUUUUUACUAUACUUUAAUUUUGAAUACAUCUUCCGAAAGUAACUCCAUGUAAUAGUACCUCACAAGAUAAAAAAAAUAAAAUUGUUAGUAAAAUAACGUAAGGUAAAAUAAAUUAAACGAUAUAUUUUUAAAAUAGUUAUUGUUUUUAAAAUGUUUUUAGAAAAUAUUUUUGAAAAUAAUUUUAUUAUGUUUUUGAAAAAUAGUUUUGAAAAUAGUUUUAAAAAGUAUUAUAGGAGGCUCGGAUGUACUUUUUUUUUUCCUUUUAGACAUGAGAACGGAACCACUUUAAUUGCGACUACGGUAGCUAAUCGUGACCUUUAAUUGCGACUACGGUAACUAAUCGUAACCCUUCCAAAGAUUAUUGGUUCAUCGCAUUCUCAUCUUUUCUUUUCCGAUAAGUUAUCAUCAUCGUAUCGUCAUUUAGGCCUGGUUCACAGGGUCAAUUCCGGAGGGUCGUGGCCUCAAUAACACGAUAUUAUCUCAAUAACACGAUAUUAUCUUCAUCGGCCUUUAGUAUAAUAAUAUAAUAUCUGCCAAAGUCGGUAAGUAUCCACAGUAAAAUAACGUCGCGAGCUUCAAAAUUGCUUUUAUUAUCACAGGCAACGUAUCAUAGUCAAACUUAGCGAUGCACAGCACUGCAAUUCCAACGAGUAAGCAGUGAAGGCCAAACUCCAAAAAUACUAAAGAAUAGCAAGAAGAGAAUACUCCAAGUUAAAGAUUUCACGUAACGUCAAAAAUUAGCCAAGUUCGGGCAGUACUAGUGAAGCCAAAGCCAUGUCCCUAAUCACAAAAAUGCACAUAGUCAUAAAAUUACUAGGACAUCAUCAAAUCCCAGGUCAACAAAUUUAUAACAAAGAUUAAAAGAAUGAAAAUUUCAUCACGAAAACAGUGACAGUAACAAAACGAGCGGGAAGGAGUUCGCCAGAAAACUAUAUAGGUUGCUGGAAAAUUAGAGGCACAAGACUAAUUGCCAACAAAACAACAGUAAACAGUCAGGAAUCCGACAAUAAUGAACAACAGCAGUGGACUAUUGGCGUUACUUCGACGACGUUUAUUCUUUUCUGGCCUAAGCUCGAAGGUAGCGAGGAGCGAGAUAUGGUCGCCGGUGAAGGUCAUUUUUUCCGACCAGAUCUACAUAUAUUCGGUCAGAUCUGAGUGAACCAUAACAGUCGCUGGAAAAGCUAUAAGCAGACGGAGAUGAAGAUGGUCGGUCAGUGAUGUAGAGGGAGGUCGCCGGCCAGCCGGUGGUCAAAUCCGGCGGCGGUGGAGUUACAGCAGCGUGGGGAAGGGGGGGCUGGGCGUGUUCUCUCAAAGUUGAGAGAAAUCAUAUGGAAGAUAAAAGGGGAGGCGGCUGAAAAUAGAGCAAAUGUUGGGAACGGCCAGCCUAGGGCAAAAUUGAGGGAGAGAUACUAUUUUAUAUUAGGGUUUUGGUUGUCAAAAAUCCGAUGUGUUCCCUCCAAAAUGCGUGUGUAAAAAUAUCUCAUAGGGUGAGUGUAGAAAAAAUAUGUGGCUAUUAUUUUAAGUGAAAAAUAAAGACAAUGUAAAAAUAAAUACGUGGUCCAAAAUAAAAUCACUAACUAUGAAAAUCAUGUGCAAAGUAGCGUGUAAGAGAGUCAUGUCACAUCCCAUGAUAUAUGACAUCAAGUAUCAUGUCAUGCCAAUUCACAUCACUUCUCAAGUCGCGUUAUGAUGUCUUGUUACAUCGAGUGUUGAUGCGACAUUGGAUUUAACUCGAUUCGAUCCGUAUUUUUUGCAUAAAUACUAUCGGUUUCCAUGUAAUUACUAGAUCGUGCUAUAGAUUAAAAAAUCUUGUGCUAUUUAUUUAAAAUUAUAACUACUAUGAUGACAUAGUAAAUUAUUAUUUAUUUAUUGAAGGACAAUAAAUUGGUAGAAUAUCCUAAUAUUUGAAAAAUAAGACAAUUAUCAAUAAAUUGUUUGAAAUUUAGAAAAAUGCACAAAAAUGGUAGUAUUUAACCAAUUGCAAUAAAAUGAUAAAAAUUCUCGUUUUUUGUAAAAAAAAUGGGAAUAAUUAUUAAUAAAUUGCAUUACAGUUAAAAAAUGUGCAAAAUAUUAUAUUUUAUUAUUUUUUGAUUAGGAAGCCUGCAAAAGUUAAUUUUUAAAUAUGGAGGGUCAAAAUUGAGUGUCAACAGUUUUUACUUGACAUUUAUGUAAUAUUUGUUACUUGUUAUUUAACUGCUACUUGCCUUGAUUUGUUCAUUUCAUAUGCGAUUUCUGCUUAUUUGCUACGUGUUUCAAUUUGCUUUAAUUUUAUAUUUUAACUGUCACCUUUUUUUACCUGUUUUCAUUGUUUGAGAUUCCGAGAGGUUGGACACUCCCCGUUUAUACUUUGGUUCUUUAUUGUUUGUACAUUUCACCCCUAUGUGUUGUUAUUUUGCAAGUACUGUUGUUGAGUUAUUUGAGUUAAUGGUUUGAAAUUGUUUGGGGAUUGGGUUGCACACAACAACGGUAUUGAACAAUAUUGAUAUGAUAAGAAGGAAUAAGGUCGGAUUAUGAUAUGAAUAGAUGAUAUUAUGGUGGGAUCGGGUUGCGCGCUGCAACAGAUUUGAUAUGUUGUAUUAUACUUGUUUGAGAUUGUAGAAUCAUUCUUGGUAUUGUAAUAUAAGGCUUGAAGCUUUGUUAUUCUAGGCUCUCUGGUAGUUGGUUUUCGAUUCCGUUUCAUGAGUUUAUUGCUUUAUUCUACUCCUUUUUCUCUUGUUAUUAUUAUUUCGCACAGGUUAUUUGUGAGUGACCUGCCAUAGCCUCGUCACUACUUUGUCGAGUUAAGAUUCGACACUUACAGGGUACAUGAGAUCGGUUGUACUCAUACUAUACUUUUACACUUCUUAUACAGAUACUGGAGUUGAUCUCAGCGGCGCGUAGUGAGACUGCUCAGAUUCAGCUACUUGUGGAGACUUGAGGUAUAACUGCAUGGCAUCCGCAGUCUUGAAAUCCCCUUCCAUUCUAUCAUUACUGUUUAUUUAGCUUCAAAACAGUUGUAUUUUGUUCAGACUUUAUUUGUAGCACUCUAGAUUCUCAUGUAUACGUGACUCCAGAUUCUGGGAUAUGUUUAGAUUAUGUUAUUCAGUAUUCUAUCACUCUAUUUCAGACUAUUACAGAUAUUAUUGUUAACGUUUUGAUUCGAAUUGUUAAAACUUGUUAAGUAAUUUAGCUAACUGUCACGACCCUAAUUUUCCUCUGUAGGAUGUCGUGAUGGCACCUAGUCUCUAAGACUAGGUAAGACUAACAUACAUGAAGAAUAUAACUAAAACAACAAUAAAACUCUCAAAUACUCAACAACUAUCAUAAAGGAAACUUUGCAACUCAGCAUAAACAUCUUCCCAAAAUCUGGUGAUAACAAGUCACAAACUCUACGAGUAAGUACGGAUCAUCCCUAUACAACAGUGUCUAUAAAAGAGACAGAGAAUGAAGUAGACUAGAUAGAGGGUGACUCCGAGGCAUGCGGGUGCCGGCAGCUAUACCUUGAAGUCUCCGAAGUUAAGCCCGUCUCACUGGUGCCUGGACUGGAAGGAGGUACCUGGAUCUGCACAAAAAGAUGUGCAGAAGUAGCAUGAGUAUACCACAACGGUACCCAGUAAGUGCCAAGCCUAACCUUGGUAGAGUAGUGACGAGGUCAGGUCUAGGCCCUACUGGAAUAAAUAAGAAGCUAAACAUGUAUAUAAUAGUGUAAUAAUGGUAACAAUGCAAAUGAAACAAUAAGGAAAUAUACCAAGAUUAGCUACACUGAAGUCAGGCAAAUAAUGCAUCACGGAAGAAAACAAGGAAUAAUAUGGCAAGGAAACAAAGCAACCAAACACCAGUGAAGUAACAAAAAGUAUCAACAAGAAUCACUACCGAGGUACCGCCUCGUAGUCUCAUAUCACAAAAUAAUUCACAAUAUUUUCUUAUAUCAUCGCGGGAGCCUUGCAUUUAGUUUUGAAAAUUAUUUUUCCCGAAAUAGCUUCUUGCAUUUUAGCCCGCCUUAUCACAUCGUGUGGUUUCAAGUAGUUCCCCUACUAGCAACAUGUGUAUCGAGCCCACCUUAUCUCACUGUAUGCGUUUCAACCCCAAACCUUAUACCACUGCAUGCGUAUCAAUAUCACAACGUAUCACAAAUCGUACCUCAAGUACCCAAUAUCACAACUUGCCAAAGAAGUCAACAAUAAUUCUAUUUUCACAAUAAAUAGCCCAUGGCCCAACCACAAUAUGCACAAGAGUCUUAACAAUAACAACCGAAAGUGAAUAACUCAACAAAAAUAGUAUUUCACAACUUAACAACCUUGCCUCAAUGUGAAUUACGACCUUUAUAACUCAAUACCAAUUUCAAUAACAAGAUAUUCCAAGAAUAACAAUUCAAUUAAGGAACUCAACGGUUAAAUAAAGAAUAAGGAGUAUAGGAAAUAAUAAUUUCAACUAGGCAUAUAAGGGCAAACAACAAGUAAGAGGUAAAAUAGGUAUAGCAUGUGAAGAUAGACUAAAGAUGAUGAAUAUAACAUAUUAUGGUAACUCAAUUAAAGGCAUGAUAAGAAUCUACAUAGCUAGAACCGGUCAAUUACUAUAUUUAGCCCGUGUACAUACUCGUUACCUAGCGUACACGGCUUUCACACAUCAUAAUUCACACAAAAUAACACCAAUCCUAAGGGGUAAUUCCCCCACACAAAGUUAGGCAAGACACUUACCUUAAAACACGCUAACUCAAUCCACUAGUAAGCCUUUCCCUCGAUUAUCCAACUCUGAACGGCUCGAAUAUAGCCAAAACAACUUCAUACCAUAAAUAUAAACUAUAGGAAACUAUUCCGAACAAUAAAAUUACGAUCUUUAAAAAUAAAUAAAAACUCAACUCAAAAGUCAAUCAUGGGUCCGCGUCUCGGAACCCGGCCAAAAUUAUAAAAUCCGAACACCCAUUCGAUAACGAUUCCAACCAUACAAGAAUUACUCAAAUCCGACCUCAAAUUGCCUUUCAAAUCCCCAAAAUUUAGUUAAGAAGUUUUCACAAAUUUUCCCAAUUUUCCAACUCAAAUCACUAAUUAAAUGAUGAAAAUAACAAUGGAUUCACUUAAUAUAGCCCAAAUCGAGUUAGAAUAUCUUACCCCGAUGAUUUUCUUGAAAAUCCCUCGAAUAAUCGCCACAAACCAAGCUCUAUAGGUCCAAAAUAUGAAAAUGAAUUCAAACCCUUGAAGACCCCUUUUUUACCCAGCGAUCCACGCUUCUGCGGGCAUGGGGUCGCAAAUGCGAUGCCACACCUGCGGAAAAUCCAUCACAGGUACGGUUCCAACUUAGGCUCUGAAGGUUCGCACCUGCGGAACCCAUAAGUGCAUCUGCGUAACCGCUUCCGCGGAAAGCCAGUCGUGUUUGCGCCUUCGCUUCUGCGCAUCAUUGACCGCAUAUGCAGUCCCAGCUUGGCAAGACCAAAUUCACUUCUGCGGUGCCCUACCUGCGGCCCAAAAUGCACAGGUGCGAUUGCACCAGACACAAUAGAGGUUCAGCGAUGCAUCAAGUCCAAAAUUAUUCCGGAUUCAAUAUGAAUCACACCCGGGGCCCCUAGGACCCCGUCCGAAUAUACUAACACGUUCCAAAACACAUAACGGACCUACUCGAGGCCAGAAAUCACAUCAAACAAUAUCGAUUCUACGAAUUUCAAACCAAUUCAAGCCUAUGGAAACUAUGAACAUCCGAAUUCCAAAAGUAAUGCCGAUUCAUACCAAAACACCUCCUAUUGACUUCAAAUUUUGCACACAAGUCAUAAAUGACAUGACGGACCCAUUCAACCUUCCGGAAUCAAAAUCCAACCCCGAUAUCAAUAAAGUCAAUACCCGGUCAAACUUCUCAACCGUCCAAACCUUCAACUUUCUAACUUUAGCCAAUUCAAGUCGAAACGACCUACGGAGCUCCAAAUCAACAUCCGGACACGCUCCCAAGUCCAAAAUCACCAUACGGAGCUAUUGGAACCGUCAAAUCUCCAUUCCCGAGUCGUCUAUACAAAAGUCAAACUACGGUCAACUCUUUCAACUUAAGCCUCCAACUUAGGGACUACGUGUCCCAUUUCACUUUGAAACUCACCCGAAUCCAAAACCAAACACCCCCGGCAAGUUACAUAACCAUGAUACAACAUAGAGGAGGCAAUAAAUAGGAGAUCAUGGCUAAAAUACUCAAAACAACCGGCCGGGUCCUCCCCCUCUUAAAACAAACGUUCGUCCUCGAACGAGUAUAGAGACAUACCUGAAGUAGUGAAAAGAUGAGGAUAAUGGCUACGUAUACCAUGCUCGAUCUCCCAAGUUGCCUCUUCGACUAGCUGACCCCUCCACUGAACCUUCACUGAAGAAAUGCUCUUCGACCUUAACUUUCGAACUUGCCUAUCCAAAAUGGCCACCGGCUCCUCAACAUAAGACAAAUCCUUGUCCAACUGGACUGAGAUGAAAUCCAACACAUGAGAUGGAUCAUCGUGAUACUUCCGGAGCAUAGAAACAUGGAAUACUGGAUGAACUACAGCUAGACUAGGUGGCAGUGCAAGCUUGUAGUCCACCUCACCAAUCCUCUCUUGAAUCUCAAAAGGUUUGAUAUACCUAGGGCUCAACUUGCCUUUCUUCCCAAACCUCAUAACACCCUUCAUGGGCAAAACCCGGAGUAAGACCCGCUCCCCAACCGUGAAUACAACAUCACGAACCUUUCGAUCCACACAACUCUUUUGUCUCGAUUGGGUUGUAUGAAGAUGAUCUUGAAUCAAUUUAACCUUUUCCAAAGAAUCAUGAACCAAAUCACUACCCAAUAGCCUUGCCUCACCCUGCUCAAACCAACACACCGGAGACCGAUACUGCCUCCCAUACAAGGCCUCAUACGGAGCCAUCUGAUUGCUUGAUUGGUAGUUGUUAUUGUAGGCAAACUCCGCAAGUGGCAAGAACUGAUCCCAAGAACCCCCGAACUCUAUAACACAUGCACGAAGCAUAUCCUCCAAUAUAUGAAUAGUGCGCUCGGUCUUUCCAUCUGUCUGAGGGUGAAAUAUUAUACUCAACUCAACCCGUGUGCCUAACUCAUGUUGUGCGACCUUCCAGAAUUGCGAUGUAAAUUGCAUACCCCGGUCAGAGAUAAUGAAGUCAGACAAUCUCGCGAAUAUAGACCUAAGCCAACUGCUGUGAAGAAUAAGUAGUCACCACUGGAAUGAAAUGAGCCGACUUGGUCAACCUAUUCACAAUCACCCAUACUGCAUCAAACUUUUUCUGAGUCCGUGGGAGCCCAACAACGAAAUCCAUGGUAACUCACUCCCAUUUCCAUUCGAGAAUCUCAAGCCUCUGAAGUAACCCACCUGGCCACUGAUGCUCAUUAUUCACCUACUGACAAUUUAGGCACCAAGCUAUAUAUUUCACUAUGUCUUUCUUUAUUUUCCUCCACUAAUAGUGCUGCCUCAACUCCUGAUACAUCUUGGCGGUGUCUGGAUGAAUAGAGUACCGCAAACUGUGGGCCUCUCAAGAAUCAAAUCACGCAAACUAUCUACAUUGGGCACACAUAGACGGCUCUACAUUCGUAACACACCGUCAUCCCCAAUAGUAACCUCCUUGGCAUCUCUGUGCUGAACCAUGUCCUUGAGGACAAGCAAAUGGGGGUCAUCAUAUUGAUGCUCCCUCAUGCGAUCAUAUAGAGAAGACCGAGAAACCACGCAAGCCAAAACUCGAUCGGCUCUGAAACAUCCAAUCCAACAAACUGGUUAGCCAAGGGCUGAACAUCCAAUGCUAAAGGCCUCUUUGCUGCUGGUAGAUAUGCUAAACUGCCCAAGCUAUCCGCCUUACGACUCAAGGAAUCGGCCACCACAUUGGCCUUCCCGAGAUGAUACAGAAUGGUGAUAUCAUAGUCCUUAAGCAACUCUAACCAUCUCCGCUGCCGCAAGUUAAGAUCCUUCUAUUUGAACAGAUGUUGUUGAUUCCGGUGGUCGAUAUAUACAUCUUUCAAGGGAUGCCGUACAAAUAGUGCCGCCAAAUCUUCAAGGCAUGAACAAUAGCUGCUAACUCAAGGUCGUGGAUAGGAUAAUUCGUCUCAUAUACCUUCAACUGUCUAGACGUGUAGGCAAUCACCCUACCGUCUUGCAUAAACACCACGCUGAGGCCAACACACGACGCAUCAUAGCACACUAUGUAAGACCCCAAACCCGUAGGCAACACCAAUGUUGGGGAUGUUGUCAAAGAAGUCUUGAGCUUUUGAAAACUCUCCUCACAUUCCUAGGUCCACCUGAACGGAGCACCCUUCUUGAUCAAUCUGGUCAUAGAUGCAGCAAUAGAUGAGAAAACCUCUAUGAAACGACGGUAAUACCCUGCCAAACCAUGAAAAAUCCAGAUCUUAGUAGCUGAAGACGGUCUUGUCCAACUCUGCACUGCUUCAAUCUUCUUCUGAUCUACCUUGAUCCCCUCACUCAAUACCACAUGCCCCAAAAAUGACACCGAGUCAAGCCAUAAUUCACACUUUAAAGAUUUUGCAUGCAACUUCUUUUCUCUCAAGGUCUGAACCACAAUCCUCAAGUGUUGCUCAUGAUCCUACCGGCUUCGGGAGUACACCAAGAUGUCGUCAAUAAACACAAUGAUGAAUGAGUCAAGAUAGGGCUGGAAUACACUGUUCAUCAAGUGCAUAAAUGUUGUUGGGGCAUUGGUCAAUCCAAAUGACAACACAAGGAACUUGUAAUGGCCAUAUCGAGUCCUGAAGGUAGUCUUCGGAAUAUCCGGAUCCCGAAUCUUCAACUGAUAAUAGCCUGACGGCAAAUCAAUCUAUGAGAACACUCUGGCACCAUGUAGCAGAUCAAAUAAGUCAUCAAUGCAUGGCAAUGGAUACUUGUUCUUAUUGUGACCUUGUUCAACUGCCGCUAAUCAAUACACAUGCGCAUAGAACCAUCCUUCUUAUUAAUAAAAAAAACCGGAGCACCCCAAGGUGAAACACUAGGCCGAAUGUAGCCCUUAUCAAGCAACUCUUGCAAUCGCUCAUUUAACUCCUUCAACUCUGCUGGGACCAUACGAUAUGGUGGAAUAGAAAUGGGCUGAGUGCCCGACAAUAAAUCAAUACCAAAAUCAAUAUCCCUAUCGGGCAACAUGUUCGGAAGAUCCUCCAGAAAUACAUCUGGAUAGUUCCUCACUACGAGAACUGGCUCAACGGUAGGAGUAUCAACACUGACAUCCCUCACAAAGGCUAGAUAUGCAUAACACCUCUUCCCAACCAUCCGUUGUACCUUAAGGAAAAACACCACCCUGCUAGGAACAUAAUCCAAAGUACCCCUCCACUCCAACCACGACAAACGUGGCACAACCAAUGUCACCAUCUUGGCGUGACAAUAAAGAAUAGCAUGAUAGAGUGACAACCAGUCCAUGCCCAAAAUAACAUCAAAAUCUACCAUACUGAGCAACAAUAGAUCAACUUUGGUCUCAAAACCACCAAGAACAACUAAACAUGACCGAUACACACGAUCAACAAUAAUGGAAUCUCCCACUGGCAUGGACACAUAGAUAGGAGAACUCAAGGAAUCAUAGGAUAUACCCAAAUAUGGAGCAAAGUAAGAUGAUACAUAGGAAUAAGUGGAGCAUGGAUCAAAUAAGACUGAUGCAUCUCUACGACAAAUUGGAACAAUACAUGUGAUGACUAAGUCUGAUGUAACCGCCUCCAUCCUAGUUGGAAGAAUAUAAUAUCUGGCCUGGCCUCCCCCUUUAAGGCGACCCCUACCCGCCCGACCUCCACCCCUAGCUGGCUAAACUGGUGGAGUGGCAACUGGUGCGGUAACCACGACCUGAGAAGCUUGAGGACCCUGUGGAAUACGUGGAGCCUGAGUAGUCUGGGGCAAUGUCUCACCAUAUUACGAGUAUCACCACACUCAAAACAAGCUCUCGUAGGACGUGGCGGCUGAAACUGGCUUGGGCCUGGUCGGCUGGACUGACCACUAAAAGCACCCCGUGCAAGAGGUGCACUAGACAAUGGCAGUGCAUAAUGGGCAACCUGAGACCUGGGAGUAGCCGGAAUACCACUGGAAGCUGGAAGUGUUGAAUGAAUGGGACGAAUCACAUAGCCUCUACCAUGACAGGCUGCAACUGGGUCCCAGGCACCACUAUAUGUGCCAGAAUCUCAAGGCCUCUUGGCCUCUCUGUCCUCUCUCUCCCGGCCCCACAUACCCUUCAAUCUCUGAGCGAUCUCCACCAUCUGCUGGUAUGGGGUAUCAGUCUCUAACUCUCGAGCCAUGCUAAAUGUAAUACUAUGGUUGAGCCCCUCGAUAAAUCGACGGACUCGCGCCCUGACUGUGGAAACUAAGGGUGGUACAUGUCUAGACAACUCGUUGAACCUGACAGCAUACUCUGACACGGUCAUAACAUCCUGGCGCAACAGCUCAAACUACAUAUGCCAUGAAUCCCAAAGGCUCUAAGGAACAAACUCUCUCAUGAACAUGUCUGAAAACUGAGCCAUUGUGAGUGAAGCUGCCCCGACGGGGCUGUCUAACUCGUACGCUCGCCACCACUCAUAAGUCGCUCCCUUAAGCUGGAACGUAGUGAAAACAACCCCAUUCGACUCCAUAAUACCCAUAUUACGGAGGAUACGGUGGCACUCCUCAAGAAAAUCAUGUGCAUCUUCUGAAGCUAAGCCGCUGAAAGGAGGGGGUGGUACUUUUGGUACCUCUCGAGCCAGAGCUGCUCCCCCUCAGAUGUUGUUGCCCUAACCUCGGGCUGAACUGGGACAAUCGACUACACUGGUAUAACCUCUAGGACCUAGUCAACCUGGACCCGCUGUUCUGGGGUACGGGCUACGGGAGUUUAUGCUCCUCCCCCAGCCUGGGAUAUGGCCGGUAUAAGUGGGAUCAACCCUUCCUAAGCUAGAGUACCAAACAUGCUCAAGGACUGGGCGAGAGUCUCAUAAAGUGCAGGGGUAGUAACAGGGGUCUCAGGUGCCUACCCCCAACUGGAGCCAUUGAUGGCUCCUCUGUAGCAGCUCGGGCAAGUGCUCUAGCUGUACCACGUGCCCGUCCUCUUCCUUUCCCCCUAGCCCAGCCUCUCGUGGCUCUAGCAGGGGACACGAGUGUCUGAUCAUCAGAUCCAGCUGUGCGUGUCCUCACAAUCUGUGAGAGAAAAGAAAGACAAAGAUUUAGAAUUUCGAAGUCAACAAAUUCGCACGAGAAGGAAUCAAAGAGGUGAAGCUUUUCCUAACAGUUCCAUAGUCUCCCGAAGAUAAGUACAGACGUCUCUGUACCAAUCCGCGAGACUCUACUAAACCUGCUUGUGACUCAUAAUACCUAUGGACCUAGAGCUUUGAUAUCAACUUGUCACGAUCCCAAUUUCCCUCCAUAUGAUGUCAUGAUGACACCUAGUUUCUCAGACUAGUUAAGCCUAACAUACAUGUAGAAUUUAACUGAAACAAUGAUAAAACUCUCAAAUACUCAACAACUAUCAUAAAGGAAACUUUGCAGCUCAGAAUAAACAUCUUCCAAAAAUCUGGCGAUAACAAGUCACAAGCUCGACGAGUAAGUACAAAUCAUCCCUAUAGCUUCCCGCAUUUUAGCCCACCUUAUCACACAGUGUGGCUUCAAGUAGUUCCCCUACUAGCAACACGCGUAUCAAGCCCACCUUAUCUUACCGCCUGCGUUUCAACCCCAAAUAUUAUACCACCGCAUGCAUUUCAAUAUCACAACGUAUAAUCGCACCUCAAGUGACCAAUAUCACAACUUACCAAAGAAGUCAACAAUAAUGGUGUUUCUACAAUAAAUAGCCCAUGGCUCAACCACAAUAUGCACAAGAGUCUCAACAAUAACAACCGGAAGUGAAUAACUCAACAAGAAUAGUAUUUCACAACUUAACAACCUUGCCUCAAUGUGAAUCACGACCUUUAUAACUCAAUACCAAUUUCAACAACAAGAUAUUCCAAGAAUAACAAUUCAAGUAAGGAGCUCAAUGGUUAAAUAAAUAAUAAGGAAUAUAGGAAACAAUAAUUUCAACUAGGAAUAUAAGGGCAAACAAAAAGUAAGAGGUAAAAUAGGUAAAGCAUGUGAAGAUAGACUAAAGAUGAUGAAUAUAACAUAUUAUGGUAACCCAAUUAAAGUCAUGAUCAGAACCUACAUAGCUAGAACCGGUCAAUUACCCAAUUUAGCCCAUGUACACACUUGUCACCUUGCGUACACAACUUCCACACAUCACAAUUCACACAAAACAACACCAAUCCUAAGGGGUAAUUCCUCCACACAAAGUUAGGCAAGACACUUACUAUAAAACACGCUAAGUCAAUCCACUAGUAAGCCUUUCCCUCGAUUAUCCAACUCUGAACGGCUCGAAUCUAGCCAAAAUAACUUCAUACUAUAAAUAUAAACUAUAGGAAACUAUUCUGAACAAUAAAGUUACGAUCUUUAAAUAGAAAUAAAACGUCAACUCAAUAGUGAACCCCGGGCCCGUGUCUCAGAGCCCGACCAAAAUUACAAAAUCCGAACAGACGGUAUCUCCCCAUGGCCUUUCGGCUCUGAAAGCGUCCUUCUUUCUCAAUGCUCGGGCAUCCAUCCAAUGCAUUCUUUUCAAUUUUGUACCCUAUGUAGGCUUGCAAAGCAUAGGUGUCACAAGCGGUACACUGAACACUAACCCAACCUCGACGAAAAAAAGGAAAAUCAAGUACAUCCUUAACCCAUUCGAUAAAGAGUUCAACCAUACAAGAAUUACUCAAAUCCGACCUCAAAUCGCCUUUCAAAUCCCCAAAAUUUAGUCUAAGAAGUUUUCACAAUUUUUCCCAAAUUUUCAACUCAAAUCACUAAUUAAAUAAUGAAAAUAACAAUGGAUUCAAUUAAUAUAGCCAAAAACGAGUUAGAAUCUCUUACCCAGAUGAUUUCCUUGAAAAUCCCUCGAAUGAUCACCACAAGCCGAGCUCUCUAGGUCCAAAAUAUGAAAAUGAAUUCAAACCCUCGAAGACCCCUUUUAUGCCCAGCGAUCCACUCUUCUGCAGGCAUGGGGUCGCAUAUGUGACACUGCACCUAUGGAAAAUCCACCGCAGGUGCGAUUCCAAGUUAGGCUCUAAAGGUUCGCACCUGCGAAACCCAUUAGUGCAUCUUCGCAAUUGCUUCUAUGGAAAGCCAGUCGCAUUUGCGCAUUCGCUUCUGCGCGCCAUUGACCGCAUCUCCGGUCCCAGCUGGGCAAGACCAAAUUUGCUUCUGCAGAUCGAGGGCUGCUUCUGCGGUGCCGCACCUGCGGCCUAAAUUGUCCAGGUGCGAUUGCACCAGACACAACAAAGGUUUAGCGAUGCAUCAACUCCAAAAUUGUUCUGGAUUCAAUCCGAAUCACACCUGGGGCCCCCAGGACCCUGUCUGAAUAUACCAAUAAGUUCAAAAACACAUAACGAAUCUACUCAAAGCCAAAAAUCACAUCAAACAACAUUGAUUCUAUGAAUCGCAACCCAAUUCAAGCCUAUUGAAACUAUGAAGAUCCGAAUUCCAAAACUAAUGCAGAUUCAUACCAAAAUAACUCCAAUUGACUUCAAAUUUUGCACACAAGUCAUAAAUGACAUGUCGGACUUAUUCCAACUUCCGGAAUUGAAAUCGAACCCCGAUAUCAAUAAAGUCAACUCCAGGUCAAACUUUUCAACCUUCCAAACUUUCAACUUUCUAACUUUCACCAAUUCAAGUCGAAACAACCUACAGACCUCCAAAUCAACAUCCGGAUAUGCUUUCGAAGUCGUGCGAUAAUUCCAUAUAUUUUUGACGUUAUUUACCCUACUUUCUUGUUGUUUGGAUGCUAAUUUGUACGACAAUUACGUUUAAUAGAGCUUAUUUCACGUGUAGGAAUGCUUGGACAUGAAUUGGAGAAAGAUGGCACGAAAUGGUAUCUCAGAGCUACAAAAUGGAGAAAAAAAAGAAGACGUGCAAGGCAAUGAAAAGUCAUGGCCAUAGACAGUGCAAGGCAUUAUCCAGGGUACUGUCAUUGGCGCUCCAAACAGUGCCUUGUGUAGAAAUAAUGGUGCCAUAGACAGUGCCUCACACAGAAAUAUUGGUGCCCCAGACAGUGCCUCGCGCCGACGAUGCCAUCCAAGCAAAUUUUAAUUCCUCACUAGUUUUGGAUAUGUAGACUUCGGCCCCUACCCUAUAAAUACGUCUUAAAGUUAGUUUUUGAAAGGUUAGACAUCAUUAGAAAGGCAAGAGGCUACGGAAUACUUUGGAAGCACGAAUCACUCGAGUUUUUCUCCCUGCUUUCCUUUUAUUUCUAGUUUAAUGCUCUUAGAUAUUACUAUGAUUAUCUACACAAUUAUGAGUAGCUAAACCCGCCAUCUAGGGUUGAUGGAACCAAUUAUUGGAUAAAGUCUUGAUUGCAUUUUGAUAUAAUAGACCCGUCAUCUAGUUAUCUUGUGAUGCUUAAGAAAGAACACUUGAUUAGAUUAUUGUUGAACAACGCCACUUUCGAGUAAGCUAAGAUAUUAAUUAUUCAAAUUUAUAAGCGGGAUUAGAGAUAACGAAGCUUUGGCGCGAUAUUUAUGAGUUGUAUGAAUUGUCAACUAGAGUAGUUCAAGAGAAUACUUCUAGUAAAUUAUCAUAAUUGAGCGAGAGAUAAUUGCGGUAAAUAAGAACUCAUCAUCUUUAGAGAGUGUUACGACGAGAUUAUAGCCAGCGUGUCAGGAAUUAAUCCGACAAUUGGAGAAAUCAUAAACCCUAGAUCCUUUUAUCCAUGAAUUCAACCUCAUUCUUUCUAAUUGAUAGUUUUUAUUGUCAUUUUUCCUUAGUUAAGUAAUUUCUGUUAAUUCACAAAUCAAAUCUUGAACUCUGAAAGUUGUCUGAGCUUAUUAUUAGUGAUACUGGAAAGUUGUAGCAAAUAGGUUAGUUAUCUGCGGGAUUCCACUCCGGACUCUUGAACCAGAUUAUUUUUGUAGUGACUGCUUAGUCCUUUUUAUAAGGCAUAGUUGGGCAUGAUCAAAUUUUAGCGCUGUUGCCAGGGGAUUAAAGAUGUUAUUCAUUACAACUUGAAAGAAUUGCUAGGAUUGUUAGUUUAGAUCUAUUUUCCGUGGUGCUAAAAUUAUUUCCAUUGAAAUUCUCACGUUUGAAUUCUUCUGAGCCUCAGGUGCCUGCCUAUAAGCUCCUUGAGAACUGGUGAACUAUUUAAAGGUCUCUCAAAUCCCGAGAAAGCAUUCAGGACAUUGAAUCGGGCUAAUAAGAAGGGCAAACAGCAAAAACAGAAUGAACAAAUCAAAAUUGAAAUGGGUGAUGUCGAGAACGUCAACGGGAACAAUAAAAAUAAUCAAGUUGACCCAAACAUCGGAAUGGUAGCACCUCUUGUGCUAGAAGCUUCUCUAUAUGAUUAGGUGCAACCAACCGCUGACAAUCCGGCAACUGCAAUUGCAGUCCCUUCGAUACAAGCGGAGACUUUUCAAAUUACAAACAAUAUGUUGCACUUGCUGCAGAAUAAAGUGUUGUUCUCCGGGUCGUACAUCGAAGACCCACAACAACAUCUGAAGAAUUUUCUAUCAAUUUGUGUCAAUCAAAGACAGCCAAAUGUGACACCCGAAGCAAUUAGAUUGUUACUAUUUCCAUUCUCAGUGACUGGGGAGGCUCAAACUUGGCUGCAUUCGCUCCCAAUAAACUCCAUUCCUACUUGGGAAGAACUAGUCAAGCAGUUCUUAAACAAGUUCUAUCCAUCCAACAAGACUGCAAGGCAAAUUGAUGAGAUAUUACAGUUCAGGCAGAAACCAACUGAAACUUUGCAAGAAACCUGGAAGAGGUUUAAGGGUAUGCUGGUGAAGUGUCCAUACCAUGGCAUCCCGGAUCAGAUGCUAGGACAGAGAUUCUAUAUGGGUUUGGCUGACAGUCUGAAGGCCAAUGUAGAUGCUUCAGCCGGGAGUGCAUUCUUGAGCAAAUCAUUCAUAGAGUGUAAGAUUCUUCUUGACAAGAUGGCUCAAAAUUCAGGCUGGAUGACGAGGGAUACAACUCUCACUCCAAUAUAGCAUUCUAUUGCUCUUGACCCAAAAAAUACAAAUGCAGAAAACAUAGUCACUCUCAUGACCUAGAUGAGCUUGUUGACAAAGAAAAUUGAUGAGAUGGGCACGGAACAGGUUCAUAUUGUUGACACAACAAAUGGAGGCCUAUGCACUUCAUGCAUAAAUUAGUCGUAUGUUUGCUCGUGGAGUGGAGAGAAUGAUAACCAAGGCUUCAAAGAAGACAUGAAUUACGUAAAUAAUUUUGGGGGUCAGAGGCAAGGUGGACAUCAAUGGGGACCUCAAAAUCAACAGUACAUACCAACCCAGUAACAAUACAAUACCAAUCCUGAGGGAGCACGACCACAAGGCCAAGUUGUGGCCUAUCAAAGACAGUUGGGUUACAAUCAGCAUCACUUACAACAGUUGGCUUACCAACAACCUCAUCAACAACAGGUGACCAGACAGGAUGACAGGAAUAUGAUAGAAAUCAAGGGCAUGAUGCAACAAAUCAUUGGGACAAAUGGAAGGAUGCGAGAAAAGUUAGUCGUACAAUCGCCCACAAGGAAGUCAACUAUUAAAGGUAUUGAAACUCAGUUAGGCCAGCUGUCCAUGUCUUUGAACAAUCACCCACAAGGAAUGUUUCCUGCAGACACAAACUGUCACGACCCCAAACCGAUGGGCCGCAAUGGGUGCCCGAGUCCUACCUGUCGAACACCCUUAAACAUGCGUUUAAGAUAUAAACAUGUAUAACAUAUGCGAGGGAAACCUGUCCGAAAGACAUAUGUACAUAUACAUGCGGAAUACAGUGGGCGAGCCGGCAAGGCUGCUAUAGAAAACUAUAUACCCAAAACUGGAAGCCGACAAGGCGACAUACUACCCUAGCUAUACAUAACUGUCUACAGACCUCUAAUAGAAAUACAAUUGUACAAAGAUGGGACUGAACCACGUCAUACCCAUAUAUGUAUACACGCAUAUCGUACCAAAAUCAAAAGCAGCUCCGGAUUAAGUGGAGCACGCCAACUCUCGCUGAUCAAGGAUCCUAAGAAGGGGGACCGUCAGCUUGCCUACCUGCACCUGCGGGCAUGAAACGCAGGCCCUGAGAAAUAUGGCAUCGGUACGAAUAAUGUACUGAGUAUGUAAGGCAUGAAAAUCAAUACAUAAAAGACAUAGAUGAAACAUGGAAUAAAGAAUUCUGACUGUAAGUUUGAAUCACUUUGUAAAUCCUGAAACAUUUAAAAUAUCAUGCACAUGCGUAUAAAUGUCGUGUCAUGCAUAGGUAUAGGUGUACAUAAUAUCAUCAAGCCUCUGAGGGCAUCCCAUCAUAUCAUCUCGGCCACUGUGGGCAAAACCAUCAACAUAUACCAACUGAUCAGGUAGUGGUGCGUAUAUAACGCCGUAUAUAUAUAUAUAUAUAACGACAUCUAGUCAUGAGUCAAUGUACAUGUAUAAAUGAAUGACAUGCAUGAAAAUAUGCUAAUAAUCUCAAUAUUCUGUUCGGAUAAAUUUUAUCAACUGUGUAUUAUUCUGAGACCCAUGAACAGAAGAUAUAAUAAUAUGUCACAUGGGGAAUCAAGAACACAGAGACCCCAAGUAUUUCUAUGAAUAGAGUCGUUAAUGGAAAUUGUGUGUUUGCUCGUUUCUUCUAUAUAAUUUGGAUCAUGCCAAAAAGAAUGAAGGGAUAGCCUUAACAUACCUGGAGUAGGGAAAAAUCUGUAUGAUAUUCUUGGAAAAGGUUGCACUGUACUCCCUUAGAAUCACAAAAUCCAACGUUGCUACUGUGCUAAGAAAUCUGGUUGGUUGAAGAAAUCACGUUGUAAUGUUAGAAAUGAAUCAUGUGAAAUCACGUUGUAGUGUUAGAAAUGAAGAAAUCACGUCUGAUUGUUAGAAAUGAAAAGGUUAGAAAUGAAAUGUCUUGUAUUCUUAACUAUGAAAAGAGUUAGGAAAGUCUUGGUGAAGUUUGAAGAGAUUAUGACUAUGCUUAACAGAAACGUUAAGAGAAGUGAGUUACUGAAGUUAUGGAAAGUUUUUAUUAAAAGUCUUAGAAUUAAAGUGUUGUUAGAAAAUGAAAACAUUAGGCAUGAGAUGUCUUGUAACUAACAUACUAGAUUGCCACAUAAUCCAAAGUGACUAUGAGUCAUUUAUUUGGAAAGUGGCUUGAUGCCACGUUUUGGGGGGGGGGAGGGGUUAAUCUUAUCUUAUAAUUUAUUAACUAAUUGGGUAAUAUUCUGUUACCCGGUAAUUAACCAAUUACCCGCAUAAUUAAGAAUUGUCUUGAAUUACUUAAAAUUUUACUCAUUUUUAAUACACCUUAUAUAUCAUACUAUCAUGGUCAAUGGUACCUUGUANNNNNNNNNNNNNNNNNNNNNNNNNCAACCUUCAACGAAACUCAUUUUCUUUAAUUCGUGUACCCUUUAUCCUUCACGGCACUUACUUAUCGUUUGUUAUAAAUAGCAUAAAUAUGUUAACCUCAAAAUAAUCUCAUCCCCGCAUCUACGUCGAUUAACUGAAGACGAAACUUUAACGUAUGAAAAUGCGAGAUGUAACACAAACAUCAAUCCAAAAGAGCAGAACCCGAAUCAGUUAAUGGCAGUGAGUCUCAUGAAUGGAAGGGAUUUGGAUAGAGAGCAUGAAGUUGUCCAAUAUAUUAGAGACGUAGGGCCACUUACUCCCGUGCCAUUCGAGAUUGAUGAGUCGACAGAGCUCAAAGAGGUUGUAAUUGAACAAGCAUAAGUUGACACAUGCAAAGAGAAGGAAAUUGAACAACUCCCAGAACAGGUAGUAGAAAAGACUUUUAAUCAGGAAAAGACAUAGAGCAAUGGGCAGAAGCUAAUUCUAGCACCAUUCCCUCAAAGGUUGGUGUUCGGUAGUGGUAAGACCUAUGGCUAAAAAAAUGUCUGAUCCCGAUAGUUUCACUAUCCCAUGCACAAUUGGAAGUUAUGCUUUUGCUAAAGCAUUGUACGACUUGGGAGCCAGUAUUAACUUGAUGCCCUUGGUAAUCUACACAAAGUUGGGCAUUGGCAGAGCUAGACCAACCUCAAUGUUGCUGCCACCGACUGAUCGCACAGUGAAAAGGCCAAUAGGAAUCCUGGAUGAUGUGCUCGUCCAAGUGGGGAAGUUUGUAUUUCUUGCUAAUUUUGUGAUUCUUGACUGUCAGGUGGACGAAGAAAUACCCAUAAUUUUGGGAAGGCCAUUUUUAGCCACUGGGACAACAUUGAUUGACUGUGAGACUGGAGAGUUGAAAAAUGAAGUUGAAUAAUGAAGAAAUAAUAUUCAAUGUUUAAUAGUCAUAAUAUUCAAUGUUUAAUAGUCUAUGAGGAGGCCCAGCGAAUUUGCAAAUUGUUCGCUAGUGGAGGCCGUUGAUGUGAUACUACAAGAGGAGGAUGAGACUCUUAAUGUCAGAGACCUAUUAGAAGCUUGUUUGAUGAAUUUGAACGAAGUGGAUGGUGAAGAGUUGGCAGAGUGGGUUAUGUCUCUCGAAGGUCAAGGGUUCUGUAAAAGGGAACCUCAGUUUGAGCCACUACACUUAGAAGAAAGAGAAACACCACUUGCGAAGCCGUCAAUAGAGGAACCACCACAGUUAGACCUGAAACCGCUUCUAGCUCACCUUAGUAUGCUUUCUUAGGGCCUAAUUCUACUUUACCUAUUAUUAUCGCCUCCACUUUGUUAGCUGUGCAGGUAGAACAAUUCCUACAGGUGUUAUAGGAAUGUAAGACUGAUAUUGGUUGGAUCAUGGAAGACAUUAAGAGUAUCAGCCCAGCCUUUUAUAUGCACAAGAUUCUCUUGGAAGAGGGGCACAAACCUUCCAGGGAACAUCAAAGAAGGAUGAACCUGAAUAUGAAGGAAGUGGUGAAGAAGGAAGUGAUUAAGUAGUUGGAUGCGUGCAUCAUCUUCCCGAUUUCGGAUAUCGUCCGGGUAAUCCCAGUCCAAUGUGUUCCGAAGAAAGGUGGCAUGACUGUUGUACAGAAUGAGAAUAAUGCGUUAAUCUCUACUCAUACAGUCACGAGUUGGCGAAUUUGCAUGGAUUACUGAAAAUUGAACACGGCCACCCGGAAAGACCAUUUUCCACUGCCAUUCAUUGACCAAAUGUUGGAUAGGUUGGCAGGGAGGUCUCACUUUUGCUUUUUGGAUGGAUAUUCGGGGUACAAUCAGAUCAUAAUAGCCCCUGAGGAUAGAGAGAAAAUGUCAUUUACUUGUCCGUAUGGCAUCUUUGCCUUUCGGAGAAUGCAAUUUGGCCUAUGCAAUGCACCGACCACUUUCCAGAGGUGUAUGUUAGCCAUUUUCACUGAUAUGGUUGAAGAUAUUAUGGAAGUCUUUAUGGAUGAUUUCUAAGUAGUGAGGAAUUCAUUCGAAGAUUGUCUUCACAAUUUGAGAAGAGUGUUGAAAUGGUGUGUAGAGACAAACCUAGUGCUGAAUUGGGAGAAAUGUCAUUUUAUGGUACAAGAAGGUAUAGUUUUGGGGCAUCGAGUGUCAAGUAAGGGUAUUGAGGUCGACCAUGCUAAGGUUGACGUGAUUGAGAAGUUUCCACCGACCACUUCGGUCAAGGCAGUAAGAGGUUUCCUUGGGCAUGCUGGUUUCUACAGGCGAUUUAUAAAGGAUUUCUCUAAAAUUGCUAAUACCUUAUGUAAACUGCUUGAAAAGGAUCACCCCUUUGUGUUUUCUGAUGAUUACAGAUUAGCAUUUGAGGAGCUGAAUAAGAGACUGGUGACUGCACCUAUCAUCGUUGCACCCGACUGGGAGCAACCAUUUGAGCUCAUGUGUGAUGCGAGUGACUAUGCUAUAGAAGCAGCUUUGGGGCAGCGAAAGGACCAAAUGAUGCACCCAAUUUACUAUGCAAGCAGAACGCUAAGCGGUGCACAACUCAAUUAUACCGUGACUGAGAAAGAGAUGUUGGCUGUGGUGUUUGCAUUCGACAAAUUCAGGUCUUAUUUGAUAGGUUCAAAAGUGAUUGCUUAUACUAACCAUGCAGCGCUUAGGUACUUGAUAGCAAAGAAGGUGUCAAAGCCACGUUUGAUCCGUUGGGUUCUUUUGCUACAAGAAUUCAAUUUGGAGAUCCGCAAUAGGAAAGGAACGGAGAACCAAGUGGCAGACAAUCUUUCAAGGUUAGAGGGAGUUGAAAAGAAAGUAGAGGUUGAAGAUAUAACAUAGACAUUCCCGGAUGAACAAUCACUAGCAGUUGCAAUGGAGGAGAUGCCUUAGUAUGCUGAUAUUGCUAACUUUUUGGCUAGCGGUAAUGUACCUUAUGAACUCUCUUCGAUUCAAAAGAAAAAGUUCUUUAGUGAUUGUCAGUCUUAUUACCGGGAUGAACCUUUACUUUUUAAAAUAUGUGUGGAUAACAUGAUCCAGAGGUGUAUCCCCGAGAAAGAUUAAUCUUCUAUUUUGCAGGCUUUCCACGCUUCACUAUAUGGUGGGCACUUUGGAAUUAGGUUUGUAUUGGCUGACGCUAUUCAAGGAUGCCCAUGCCUGGGUGAAAAGUUGUGAUGAGUCCCAAAUAACCGGUAACAUAUAUCGUCGUCAUGAGAUGCCAAUGACUACAAUUCAAGAGGUGGAACUGUUUGACGUAUGGGGGAUUGAUUUUAUGGGACCAUUUGUCAGCUCAUAUGGUAGCAAGUACAUAUUGGUAGCAGUUGACUAUGUCUCCAAAUGGGUUGAAGCGGUGGCUCUUCCAAUAAAUGAUGCUAAGGGAGUGAUAGGAUUUCUAAGAAAAAAUAUUUUCACAUAGUUUGGCACUCUGAGAGCUAUAAUCAGUGAUGGUGGAACUCAUUUCUGCAAUAGAGCAUUCGCAAGGCUGUUAGAAAAGUAUGGAGUUCGCCAUAAGGUUGCCACACCUUACCACCCGCAAACGAGCGGGCAAAUGGAAGUGUCCAACAGGGAAAUCAAAAGUGUCCUGACCAAGACAGUGAAUGUGACUCGGACUGAUUGGGAAAGUAAGUUGGAUGAUGCGUUAUGGGCUUACCGCACAACAUUUAAAACCCCAAUUGGUAUGUCUCCGUACAAGUUGGUGUUUGGAGAAGCAUUCUAUCUUCCGGUGGAGCUUGAGCAUAAAGCCUUAUGGGCACUGCGGCAGUUGAAUUUCGAUAUGGAAACCGUAGGCAUAAGUAGAGUUAUAGAGUUACAUGAACUCAAGGAGUUCUGGUUCCAGGAAUUCGAGAGUAUGAGAUUGUAUAAAGAAAGGAUGAAGAUGAUGCAUGUUAAGCACAUUCUAGAUAGGAACUUCAAACCCGGAGAUCUAGUGUUGUUAUACAACUCGAGAUUGAUUUUAUUUCCGGGUAAGCUGAAAUCUAGAUGGUCGGGACCAUUUAGAGUUGUGCAAGUGUUCCCAAGUAGAGCGGUAGAAAUUGAGUCUGAAGAUGGAACGAAUAGGUUUAAAGUGAAUAGGCAAAGGUUGAAACACUACCUUGGAAUGAUUGAAGAAAAAUGGGAGAAAGAUGUGAUGUACUUGAAAGAGCCCCAAUAUGUGAGCAAAUAUCCUGAAAGCAUGCGUUGUGCCGUGAUGUUAAAUCAGGCGCUUCCUGGGAGGCAACCCAUGGUCGUGUUGAAUUUGUCAUGCCAUGACGUUAACUAAGGUGCUUAUUGGGAGGCAACCCAAUUCAUAGCGUAGAGUUAGUUUAGUUUUAGUUUUAGUUUUUGUGUGAUAAUGAGGUGGACUAACAAGUGCGUUUUGUGUGAAUUUGACGUGUUUUGAUAGGUUGUGGAGCUAUGUGGAAGGAAGAUGUGCUCGGGUGUCCUAAACAAGCUAAAAGGUUGCAAAAAGAACAAGAAAACAUCGAGCCAUCGCGAGGCGAAGUACAAAUGGUGAGUUUUGCACAACUCAUGUUGCCUAGCGAGGAAAUGUCCAGACGCCGCCCCAGACCCCUCCCCGCGCUAAAUUUUCAGUGCCUCUCACGCCACCUUGUGCAGUCCAACGCGCUAAGGCUAGCGCCCCUGAUGGCGCCUCGUGUGAUAUUAUCGUUGCUGCCCACACCGCCUCGCGCCAAGGCCCAGGUAAGUCUUUAAAAUAAAAUAAUAAUCCAGCAUUAACAUCAAUUAAAAUAAUCCAGCAUUAACAUCAAACACACACACUCAUAACAUAACCCCUUAAUACCUAAAUUCUCUCUUCCCCACCCCACUGUAGUGUCCCCUCCAACAACACACACACGCACUACCACCAUCUCAACCCACUGCCUCGCCACUCUCUCAACCACCAGGUAUAGUUCUCUCUCUCUCCUCUUUUCUAUCUUUUUCUAUGUAAAUUUUAGUGUUGGGUAAUAUGCUCUACAAGGUACAACAAUGGUGCAGUUGUGCUAAAAAUUAUCCAACCCCGAAUAUCCUAUAAGAUAUCUUGUGAUUGUUGUAACGAGUGUUUCACACUCGAUUCCCAAGUUGAUUUGGGAGGGUGGAGCAAUCCUUCAGCCACAAAGAAACUCACACACAAAUAAUGCCUACAAGGUGCUCGAUAAAUUUCCUCAUUGGCGAUUUUAGUCCCAUUUGGAGCCUGAGUCUUUGGAAUAGAUUGUUUUGUGUUAGGAGAGCAUGAUUGAUAUGAAAACCUAAGUGUGGGGUGACUCUACAAAGUUGGUGUGGAUUGAUAAAGUGUGUUUGCAAUGACAUACGAGCUAUGUGUAGUGCCGAAAUUUAGAUGCUAAUACACUUACUUGAUGAAGGCGAAGUCUGAGAAGCCUAUGGUUUAAAGUAAUUAGCAUAUCUUAUAGCUUUAAGUGUGGGGUCACUCCGACCUUAUUUUUGUGAUAGUUGUUUCCUUCCAUUAACAAUUGGCAUGGUUGAUAGGUACGUGCAAUAUGGGUCGUCCAACAGCUAGUUCUAAGGCACCGGCUAAGGCCAAGGCACCACCAAAGGCAAAGGCUACCUCGUCAGGCACAUCGCCAAAGAAAAGGACCAAAGUUGAGGCUACGUCUGGUAGUCACAGUGGUAAAGGAAAGCAAGGGGCUUCUGCUUCUACCGGGGCACAACCUCAAGAGAGAGCGACUCGUGAGUAUGGCAUCAAGAGUGUGCCCCCAUAUGGGAGAGCAUUUUACAGGAAGUGUCGCCCAAACUCAUAUCUCCCUAAUUUUACAGUUGAUGAGCAAAAAUUGAAGUCAUGUUACCCUUAGUAUUGGGAAAUAAUACAUGAACUAGGAUUGGGUUUUGUGUUUAAAAAUCCGGGAGAGGCAAACUUUAGCUUAGUACGCGAGUUCUAUGCCGGGUGGAACCUUGAAGAUAAGGAGCAAUUGGUACCUAUUCGUGGGAGGCUGAUUGAUAUUUCGGCAAGUGCAUUAUGUAGAUUUUUGGAUGCACCUGAUGUCCCAUGUAGUCCGUUGUGUGACUUUAUUGACCGGCCUUCUUACAAAGAUAUAGGCACACACUGUGUGGUGUUAAUUCGAAUGCGGUGUAAACACGAGACAAAAAAUACAACACCCGUACUUCUCUGCCUAAAGUGAAGUUUACAAAAAUUGCUAAAGUAUGGUUGCGCUUGGUGAACACGAGACUACUUCCAUGUGAUCAUGAUUCUGCUGUUGUCCGCGAGAGAGUAUGUCUAGUGUAUUUCUUGAUGAAAGGGUGGACGGCGAAUAUGGGCCAGUUGAUACGUAGUCAGAUGGAACAAUCUCGAAAGGGCACGCUUACUAGGAUAUGCUUUGUGAAUAUGCUUACGCAAUACUUGCUUAAAGAGCAGGUGGAUGAGGAGCCAAGGUUUUACUUGUUGAUUCCAUCCACAUCUCGAGCUACCGAUAUUGUUGUUAUUCGUGGGCUAUAUGAGGAAGAUGGUACGGCAUUGACUACAGCGGAGCAUUAGGCUCGCGAUGAGAGCGUUCUGGUUCAUUUGUAUAGGAUGAUGGAUUUUCAGUUAAGGAUUGGGGGUAGGCCUGCUACUUCAGAGGAGAGGACUCACCUGACUGAGCAGUUCCCGCUCACCUCACCGGCACAACGAUUGGUUGGUUUAGCUGCGGGUCAGGGGGUGCUACCAGAAGAAGAUAUCAACACUCUAGAGCAUUCAGUACAGGGUGACGGGGAGUAGGUUGAUCCAACAGUUGAGCCAACGGUUGAUGCCACUGGUGAGGAUCUGGGUUAUGAUGUUGAUGAGGCUGACCGGGCCUUCUUCGAUGAGGGCCAUCGUCUCGAGGAUUGAUCGGGGAGUUUUUUAUUCACCCUUUCUACUUUAAUUAUGCAUUGGGGACACUGCAUGUUUUAAGUGUGGGGUGGGUAACUCUCAUUGUGCAUAGUAGGAAUAGAUUAGUAACCUUAUUAGCUUCUUAUAUUUUUAAUUUUAGCUUCUUAUAUUUUUAAUUUCUAGCUUCUUAUAUUUUUAAUUUCUAGCUUCUUAUUUUCUUUAUUGUUAGCUUCUUGUUUUAUUAUUUUAGGAUACUCUAAAAUAGUAUUAAGUAGUGUAGUAGUUUUUAUUUUUUGGUUUUUUUAUUUUCGAAAAAAAAAGAAAAAAAUGGACUUUUCUCGACGAUGGAUCUCCUAGACAGUUUUCUUGAGGGAUUAAAGUCUAAACAAAAAAUACAAAAAAAUUAGAAAAUAGAAAAUACAAAAAUAUGUCUAUUUUUUAUUUUUCUUAGGUAGUAAUAAUCCCUCGUGGUUUUUCUUUGUACCUCAGUUCUUUUUCAUGGGAUGUAACUUGAACCGGGUAGUAGAUUUAUUUUUUUAUUUUUACUUUUAGAAUAGUAUGUAGGAAAUAAAGGAGAAGAAUUGAUGUGAUUUGUACCCUUUGACUUGUUUGAUGGUUGCAUACUUAGGUUUUGGCAUGCGUUUCACCUUCCCUUAGCUUUAAAUAUAUGACGAUGCCUUGGUAAAAAUGAAUAGCAUGUGGUAUAACUCCUAUGUCUCGGUUGCUUUACUUGUGUUCACUUUGUGCUUUAUGCUUAAUAUAUCUCUUGGCCUUGUGAAUACUUGUUUGAGUGAGAGUCCGAAUGAAACUGUCAUUAGUGAGUCAUGUGCCAUGUGUGAAGUGAGUUCUUUGUAUAGUCCAUGUUAUUGCAUUUGAGUCUAGAACUUGCCCGGAAUAUGAAGUAACGCGAAAUCCUAGGUGUUGCUCGAUUUGAAAAGUGAAUUAAAGUGAAAUCCUCGUGAGAUAAUUCCAUAUAUUUUUAUGUUAUUUACCCUACUUGCUUGUUGUUUGGAUGCUAAUUUGUGCGACAAUUGCGCUUAAUAGAGCUUAUUUACGUGUAGGAAUGCUUGAACAUGAAUUGGAGAAAAGUGGCACGAUAUGGUACCUCGGAGCUACAAAAUGGAGCAAUAAAAGAAGACGUGCAAGGAAAUGAAAAGUCAUGGCCAUAGACAGUGCAAGGUAUUGUCUAGGGCAUUAUCAUUGGCUCCCCAAACAAUGCCUCACGCAGAAACAAUGGCGCCAUAGAUAGUGCCUCGCGCAGAAAUAUUGGUGCCCCAGACAGUGCCUCGUGCCGAUGAUGGCAUCCGAGCAAAUUUUAAUUCCUCACUAGUUUUGGACAUGUAGACUUCGGCCCCUACCCUAUAAAUACCUCUUAAAGUUAGUUUUUGAAGGGUUAGACAUCAUUAGAGAGGCAAGAGGCUAUGGAAUACUUUGGAAGCACGAAUCACUCGAGUUUUUCUCCCCGCUUUCCUUUUAUUUCUAGUUUAAUGCUCUUAGAUAUUACUAUGAUUAUCUACAUAAUUAUGAGUAGCUAAACCCGUCAUCUACGGUUGAUGGAACCAAUUGUUGGAUGAAGUCUUGAUUGCAUUUUGAUAUAAUGGAGCCGUUUUUACUCUUUAAUUGUUCGACUAUGUAUUUCUUGUGGUUAAUUGAAGGCCCCUUGAUUAAUCGUGUCUAGUUAUCUUGUGUUUCUUGAGAAAGAACACUUUGAUUAGAUUGUAUGUUGAACAACGCCACUUUCGAGUAAGCUAAGAUAUUAAUUAUUCGAAUUUAAAAGCAGGAUUAGAGAUAACGAAGUUUUGGCGAAAAUACUUCUAGUAAAUUAUCGUAAUUGAUCAAGAUAUAAUUGCGGUAAACAAGAACUCAUUAUCUUUAGAGAGUGUUAUGGCGAGAUUAUAGCUAGCGUGUCUGGAAUUAAUCCGACAAUUGGGGAAAUCGUAAACCCUAGAUCCUUUUAUCCUUGAAUUCAACCUCAUUCUUGCUAAUUGAUAGUUUUUAUUGUCAUUUUUCCUUAGUUAAGUAAUUUUUGUUAAUUCAAAAAUCAAAUCUUGAACUCUGAAAGUUGUCUAAGCUUAUUAUUAGUGAUACUGGAAAGUUGUAGCAAAUAGGUUAGUUCCCUGUGGGAUUCGACUCCGGACUCUUGAAUCAGAUAUUUUUACAGCGAUCGCUUAGUCCUUUUUAUAAGGCAUAGUUGGGCGUGAUCAGCUCUCUAAGUCCAAAAUCACCAUACGGAGCUAUUGGAACCGUCAAAACUCCAUUCCGGAGUCGUCUACACAAAAGUCAAACUGUAGUUAACUGUUUUUAUUUAAGCCUCCAACUUAGGGACUAUGUGUCCCAUUUCACUCUAAAACGCACCCGAAACCAAAACCAAACAUCCCUGGCAAGUCACAUAACCAUGAUACAACAUACAAGAGGCAAUAAAUAGGGGACCGGGGCUAAAAUACUCAAAAUAACCGGCUGGGUUGUUACACUAUUGUUGGCUUGCCUAGCAAGUGAAAUGUUAGGCGCCAUCAUGGUCUCGAGGGUGGGAUUCUAAGUCGUGAUAAGUUGGUGUCAGAGCACUAGGUUUCCUAGGUCUGACGAGUCAUGAGCAAACUUAGUAUAGUCUAGAGGAUCGGUACGGAGGCGUCCGUACUUAUCUUCCAGAGGCUAUAAGGCUUUAGGUAAAUUUCACUUCUUUCUUUCUUUAUCGUACGAUUUUAUUCUAUCAUUGAUGUUUGAAUCAUUCCAUUCUUGUUCUCUCAUAGAUGAUGAGAACAUGCACAACAUCUAUAGCUGGGCAGGAGCCGGAUCCCCUUGUUGUAGCCACUAUUAGGGGUAGGGGUAGGGGCCGAGGCAGAGGCAGAGCUCAGCCUAGAGCACGUGCAACAUCACCCACUGUGGAGACUUAAAUUGAUAAUGAGGAGGAGAUCCAAGUUCAAACAAUGGCCGUAGAUAUUGUUAGAUGGAUCGAGAUGAUUUGUAGUCAGGAUAGAGAGGCGGUAUCUGAGAAGAGAACUUGUCAGUUUGAGGGUUUCAGUGGUGCCUCAUCUGGAGGUAGUGGUUCUUUUGGUAGAGGCCAUCUUCCUAGGCUGAUUCAGUCAGCACUCCAAGCAUCCCAUGGGGCUUCAAGCAGUUGUGGUUCACAUGUUUAUUGUCUGGAGCAGCCAGCAUUCAGUGCACCUUCAGAUUCUAUUAAUGCACCACCGCUAUAGGGUUACUAUAGUGGUUAUCCGGUCUGUUAGGGUCAGUCUCUACUUCAGUAGACUCAGCAGUCAAGAGAGUUCUUUGAGUGUGGAGGUACAUGUCACAUUAAGUAAUAUUGUCCUAGAUUGAUGAGUAUCAGACCUCAAUAGGGUUCUCGUGCCAUUAUGCCGGCACUGGUUGCUUUACCGCCCGCACAACCAGCUACAUGCAGGGGUCAGCCAGCUAGAGCUGGAGGUUAGGCCAUUAGAAGUGGAGGCCGGCUAGCUAGAGGCCAUCUGAGAGGUGUAGGUUAGAGUAGUGGGGCCCAACCCUAUUUUUAUGUAUUUCUAGCCAGGCUUGAGGCAGAGUCAUCUGACGCCGUCAUCACAGGUAUUGUUUCGGUUUUCCAUAGGGAUGCCUCAGUCUUAUUUGAUCCAGGCUCUACCUAUUUAUACGUGUCACCCUAUUUUGAUUUAUAUCUGGUUAAUUUUUCGUGAUUCUUUGAGUGCUCCUGUCUAUGUGUCCACGCUUGUGGGAGAUUCUAUUGUAGUAGAUCAUGUUUAUCGUUCGUGUGUGGUUUCUAUCGGGAUCCUUGAGAAUAGUGUAGAUAUUCUACUUCUUGAUAUGGUGGACUUUGAUAUUAUUUUGGGCAUGGAUUGUUGUCACCUUAUCACGCUAUUUUGGACUGUCAAGCCAAGAUGGUGACUUUAGCCAUGCCGGAGUUGCCUCAAUUUGAGUUGAGAGGGACUCUUGGCCAUUUUACUAGCAGGGCUAUUUCUUAUGUAAAGGCUCGACAUAUGGUCAAGAAGGGAUGUCUAGCAUAUUUGGCCUAUAUCCGUGAUCCUAGUGCGGAGGUUCCUUCCAUGGAUUCAGUACCAGUUGUGCGCGAGUUUCCAGAGGUGUUUCCUGUAGAUUUGUUGGGGAUGCCACCCGAUAGAGAUAUUGACUUAUGUAUUGACUUGGCUCCGGCACUCAACCCAUUUCUAUUCCACCAUACUGUAUGACCCCAACUGAGUUGAAGGAACUGAAGGAGCAAUUGCAGGAUGUGCUUGAAAAGGAUUCAUUAGACCUAGUGUCUCUCCCUGGGGUGCAUCAGUGUUGUUUGUAAAGAAGAAGGAUGGUUCGAUGAGGAAGUGUAUAGAUUAUCGGCAGUUAAACAAAGUCACUAUCAAGAACAAGUAUUCGUUGCAUAGGAUUGAUGAUUAUUUGAUCAGCUUCAGGGUGCCAAAGUGUUUUCAAAGAAUGAUUUGAGAUAUGACUACCAUCAGUUGAAGAUUAGGGCAUCGGAUGUCCCUAAGACAGCGUUUCAGACUCGGUAUGGUCAUUAUGAGUUCCUAGUGAUGUCAUUUGGCUUGACAAAUGCCCAACAACAUUUAUGGAUUUGAUGAACUAGGUAUUCUAGCCUUACUUGGAUUCUUUUGUGAUCGUCUUCAUUGAUGAUAUUUUGGUUCACUCCCGUAGUUGAGAGGAGCAUGAGCAGCAUCUGUGGAUCGUACUUCAAACUCAGAGAGAUAGUAAGUUAUAUGCCAAGUUUUUGCAGUUGAGUUUUGGUUGGAUUCGGUUGCCUUUAUGGGCAAUGUUGUAUCUUCCGAGGUCAUUAAAGUGGAUCCUAAGAAGAUUGAAGCAGCUCAGAACUAGCCUAGACUUAUUUCAGCUAUAGAGAUUCGGAUCUUCUUGGGUUUGGCAGGUUAUUAUCGCCGAUUCGUGGAGGGGUUUUCAUCUAUCUCAACCCCAUUGACCAAGUUGAUCCAGAAGGGUGCUCUUUUUAGAUGGUCCGAUGAGUGUGAGUUGAGUUUUCAGAAUCUCAAGACUGCUUUGACCACAACUCCAAUUCUAGUUUUGCCGUUAGCAUCAGAUUCAUAUGUAGUUUAUUAUGAUGCUUCACGGAUUGGCAUCAGAUGUGUCUUGAUGCAGGAGGGUAGGCUGAUCGCUUAUGCUUUGCGUCAGCUAAAGGUUCACGAGAAGAACUACCCCGUUCAUAAUCUAGAGUUGACAGUUAUUGUUCAUGCAUUGAAGAUUUGGAGGCACUACCUUUACGGCAUGCCGUGUGAGGUAUUCAUGUAUCAUUAGAGUCUACAACACUUCUUUAAGCAAAAUGAUCUAAACUUGAGGAAGCGGAGGUGGUUAGACCUAUUAAAAGACUAUGAUAUUACUAUUUUGUACCAUCGCGGGAAGACCAAUGUGGUGGUCAAUGCCUUAAGCAGAAAGGCUGAGAGUAUGUGUAGCCUUGCGUGGUUUCUCGGUCUUCUUUGUAUGAGCGCAUCAGAGAGCGUCAUUAUGACGACCCCAUUUUCUUAUCCAUAAGGACACAAUGCAACACGGCGAUACCAAGGAGGUUUCUAUUGGAUAUUAUGGGGUGUUGCGGAUGCAGGGUCGGAUUUGUUUGCCCAAUAUGGAUGGGCUUCGUGAGUUGAUUCUUGAGGAGGCCCACAGUUCGUGAUAUUCCAUUCAUCCGGGUGCCGCCAAGAUGUAUCAGGAUUUGAGACAGCAUUAUUGGUGGAGAAAAAUGAAGAAAAAUAUAGUAGAGUAUGUGGCUCGAUGUUUGAAUUGUCAACAGAUAAAAUACGAGUAUCAGAGGCCGGGCGGUUUGCUUUAGAGUCUUGAGAUUCCAAUGAUUUGGUUUGAGCCGGGAGAGGCUAGGUUGUUGGGUACUGAUUUGGUUCGGAAUGCCUGGAAGAAAAUCAAGUUGAUUUAGGAUCAACUUCAUACAGCCAAGUCUAGGCAGAAGAGUUAUGCUGAUCGGAGGGCUCGUGAUGUAGCAUUCAUGCUGGGAGAGAGGAUUUUGUUAUGGGUUUCACUCAUGAAGGAUGUGAUGAGGUUCGGGAAGAAGGGAAAGUUGAGCCCUAGGUAUAUUGGUCCUUUUGUAAUCCUUGAGAGAGUUGGUGAGGUGGCCUACAAACUUGCAUUAUCACCCAACUUAUCGGCAGUUCACCCGGUGUUCCAUGUUUUCAUGCUUCGGAAGUAUCACGGUGAUCUGUCCCAUAUAUUAAAUUUGAGCUAUGUCCAAUUGGACAAGGAUUUGACUUAUGAGGAGGAGUCGGUGGCAAUUCUAGCCCGGUAGGUUCGGAAGUUGAGGUCUAAGAGUUAUCCUUCUGUGAGAGUGCAGAGUAGAGGUCAGCCGAUCGAGGAAGCUACGUGGGAGUCCGAGUUUGAUAUGCAGAGUAGAUACCCAUACAUUUUCAUCAGUUCAAGUACUUUUCUAUGUCCGUUCGAGGACAAACGUUUCUUUUAGAGGUGGAGAAUGUGAUGACCCGAUAGGUCAUUUUGAGUACUAGCCCUUAUUUUUGUGUUCCGAGACCUCUAUUAGCUCCAUUUGAUGUUCCUCGAGUUGCAUGCAUAGUCUGUGUCUUUUUUCCGAAAAGUUUUUUACGUAAAAAAUUGAAGCAAAUAUGAUUUUUUAGCUUUAAAACAACUUGAAUUGACUACGAUCAAUAUUUUUUGAAAAUGACCCAGGAUCGGUAUUUUGACGAUUUUGAUAGGUCUGUAUUGUGAUUUUGGACUUAGGCGUAUGCCUGAAAUUGAAAUCAGAGGUCCCUAGGGUGAUUUGACUCAUUUUGCCAAAAGCUUGUAAAUUGAAGGUUUGGAAAUUUCCUAGGUUCGACCGAAGGUUGACUUUAUGAUUAUCGGGUUCGGAUUUUGGUUACGGGACUUGGUAUAUGUCUGUUUUGCUAUUUGAAACUUGUCUGCAAAAUUUGGUGCAAAUCGGAGGUUGUUUGAUUUGAUGCGGACGCUUGGUUGUGAUUUUAGAAGUUCUUGAGUGUUCUUUGAAAUUUCAUGCAUUUUGACGUCUGAUUCGUGGUUCUAGGAGUUAUGUUGGUGUUUUGAUUAUGCGAGCGAGUUCGUAUGGUGUUAUUGCACUUGUUUGCUUUGUAAGGCCCCGUACAGUUUUGCCAAGAAAUUUAAGGUUUCGUGGUGUCGAGGUAGGCUAAUGGGUUUGAGGAUUGUAGAAAACGAGCCAUGGUAUGUACUUUUUGGGUUGAAGAAUACACUAAAGUGUUGAUGGGAAUUUUUGGCAGAAGAAGGCGAUUCUGCGGUCAAUUUCGCGAUCGCAGAACGGUUCCGCGGACCGCAUAGGCAUCGCAAAGUGGAGCAGAGAAUGGGCAAAUUUUGAAAAACAGUUCUGUUGGCCGCAUAAUCAUUUUGCUGGUUGCAGAAAAAUUCUGCUGCCUACAUAACCAUUCUACUAUCCACAUAAUCGAUUCUUCUGCCCACAAAAUGAUUUUGCUGCUCACAUAACGAUUUUGCUGCCCAUAUAACGAUUCUGCUACCACAUAAUUGACUCCGGGGAUCAUUUUGGAAAAUUUCUUAUCCGACCCUUUUGAUAUAAGACCUUAGGGGGUCAUUUUACAAGGUAAAAUCUGAUUUUUUUGAGAGAGGAGAGAACUAUUUUAGAGAGAGAAGGCGAAGACCUAGCAUGCUAAUCAUUUCUUCUUGCCCCAAUCUUCAAGAAUCAAGGAAUCCAAUCACAAGAUCUUCAUCUAAGAGGUAAGGUUCUACUCCCUAGCCCAAAAUUUUAGGAUUUGGACUAAAAGUAGGUCAUGAGAAGUAUGAUUCUUAGAUUUGGGAGGUACUCUUUAUGGAUGAAUGUACCUAUAAGGGUGGUAGGGAGGUUGUCGAACUAAAUUGGGUGAAUGAUUUGUUGUGGUAUGAAAGGAUUCCACCAUAGAAACCUUGUAGUGUAAUUUGCACACCUAGUGCUUGAUGAAAUGCCUAAGUGAGCUGAAACCAUGGAUCUCUCCUUAAUUAUGGUUCAAUUUUGUUAUAUCUCUAGUUGAUUGGAAUUGCUAGAAGUGUUGGGAUGUUGUGGUAAUCUAAGGGAAGCUCAAGCAAGGUAUGUUGGCUAAACUUCUCUCUUAAAAUUGAAUCCCACGAUGUUCUUGUAAGUCCCGAGUUGUUCAUUAUAAAUUGACUAUUCCGAAUAAGCUUUGUGCCGAAAGAGAUAUGUUCAAUAUGUGUUCCGAAUGCUCUUAUCAUGUAAUGUUAUCUUUCGGGAAUGCGUUCAAAGUAUGGGUUGUGUAUUAAAAUGUUAUGGUUUUGAGUCGUUUUUCAAAUGAAAGUUAUGAUGCCAAAUUGUGUGAGAAAAACUCGAUGUGCUUAAGACUCUUAAUUGGUCAUAUGUGUAUCUAAGGUCUAGAUUAGAAAUGCCUUGUUGUUGAUAACCCAUAAAGAUGAUGAAAAGUGAAAGAAGUGGGUUGGAGAUGUAAAGUGUGGCUACCGUGCCAAUAAUAAAAGUUAUAUUUGUGGCCAAUGGUGCCAAUGAAAUGAAAUUAUGCGAGAACGGUUAUGAAAUGAGCCUUGAUUCAACUGCUCCAAAUUGACUUCGAAAAUAGAUUUGCCUAAAAGCUUAUGUGCUCAAGUCAUGCCCAAAGGUGGUUGUUUUAACUAAUUCUAUGCUUUGUAAGUAUUUCCAAUGUGGUUUGAGCUCUUACAUAAUCAUGAGUUGAAACUGUGUAUUGCCCUUUUGGGGAAAAGUAUUUCAAGAAUAAAUGGUGUGUUACUCGUUUAUGAUUUUAACUUGCACUUUGAUUGCCAAUCAUUUUACUUCACUUCUUGGAAAGAAAUCUAUUGUGUUUAAAGCCUUCAUUACUAAUGAACCUAAAGUUGUGAUUUUCGGAAUAUUCUAUAUGUUGAUAUUUAUGAUGACGAUCCAUGAAAGGAAAGAUAUGAAAGUGUGGAAUAUAAAAUAUGGCCAUUGUGCCAUGAAAGAAGAAUCAUAUGUAAGGCCAAGAGAGCCAAUGAAAUAAUGAUGUUGUAAGUGGUUGAAAGUACGAAUGAAGUGAUAUAUGGUGUGGAAGGUUAUGAGAUGAACGUAUUUGUACUUUUGUUUCCAAUGUGUUAUAAGCUCCUACAUUCUCAUGAGUAAAGGCUAUGGUGUUCCUAAAUGUUUUAAAUGCUCUUAAUGUUCUAUGAUCACCCAUGGCAAGUACAAGUAAGUGAUAGUAUGAACAUAAAAUGUGACCGCUUGCCAAGAUGAGAAUUAUGAGGCAUUGUAUGUUUCAAUGGUUUCAAUCAUUGUAUGUAUGCUUCUAAAAUAAUAAAUGCAAAUGACUUCGAUGUUAAGUACCCAAGAAUUAUGAACCUAGCUAAUGACCUCAAGAUGACAAGUGAGUGAAUAACGAGAUGAAAGGGAGAUGUCCUAUGCUAAAUGAUGAUGAACCUUAAAAAAGGAAAUUGGGCUCAUGUGCCAUUGAAAUCGACUUAUUGAUUCACCAUGCAUGUGCUAAUGUAAUGAGUUAUGUUUAUCCAUGAUGAGCAUGAACAUGAAGUAUUCCAAUGAUACGGGAAAUUACGACCUUAAAUGUAAUGUUAAUCAUGUCGCUUUGAGUUUAUAUAUGGUUAUGUGCAUAAUGAUGUGUUAUGAACCCUAUGGACGGUCUAUGAAAUGCAUAGGUGUAUUGUAUAUGUGAUCCUAUAGACGGGCUAUGAAACGCAUAGGUGUAUUGUAUAUGUGAUCCUAUGGACGGUCUAUGAAAUGCAUAAGUGUAUAGUGUAUGGAAUCCUAUGGACGGUCUAUAAAACACAUAGGUGUAUUGUAUAUGUGAUCCUAUGGAUGGGCUAUGAAACGCAUAGGUGUAUUGUAUAUGUGAUCCUAGGGACGGUCUAUGAAACGCAUAGGUGUAUUGUGUAUGGAAUCCUAUGGACGGUCUAUGAGACGCAUAGGUGUAUUGUGUAUGGAAUCCUAUGGACGGUCUAUGAGACGCAUAGGUGUAUUGUGUAUGGAAUUCUAUGGACGGUCUAUGAAACGUAUAGGUGUAUUGUGUAUGGAAUCCUAUGGACGGUCUAUGAAACGCAUAGGUGUAUUGCGUAUGAAAUGUAUAGGUGUAUGAUAUGAAUAAACACUAUGGACGGUCUAUGAGAUGCAUAGGUGUAUAAUAUGAUAUGUGAACACUAUGGACGGUCUAUGAGAUGCAUAAAUGUAUGAUAUGAUAUGUGAACACUAAGGACGGUCUAUAAAAUGUAUAGGUGUAAAAUAAGAGAGGGAUAUGGAUGGUCUAGUGAGACGUAUUGUUAACGCAGACAAUAGGUGCCACUUUCAUUGCCCUUAUUUGUACAUGUUGUUUCAAGUACAUUAUAUUAUGUAUUCCACGUAUAGUUCAUAUGGCUCAAUUGAUCACAAAGGAAUUUCAAAAUGAUGUAAGUAAAAUAAGUCUUGAAAUUUGAUUCUAUGGGAUGUUUCGUAGUUUCUUGAUGUACUUUAUUUGCCUCUUAUUUGAAUUAACAUAUUUUCAUAUGUUGUUUUGUCUGCCUUAUAUACGAGUACUAUUCCACAUGUACUCACAUACCUUUUGCCGGGGGUGCUUCAUCUUUUAAUGGUUGCAGGUAUACUUAUAUUGGAUGAUAUGGAUCUUUGAUAGGGAUCUGCUUCACUACUCAGAUUAUGGUGAGCCCACUACAGUUAUAGUAGGUGUUUGGGUCUAGUUCAUUUUAUGUAUUUAGGUACUUAUAGUCAUAGAAGCUCCAUGUACAUUGUGGGUCAUGUAAUUAAUGAUUUGAGUUUUGUCAUGUAUUUACGUUCAUAGUUAUUUAUAAGGCUACGCACCCAUCAUGAGAAAGAUUAUAGGCCAUUGAGCCAAAUGUAUUCAAUUUAAAAGUCAGGAUCUAGUUAUGUUAUGGUAAAUCAUGCAUGAGUAAUGAUGAGAGGUUGAUGUAAAGUAGACUUGCUCGACUGGAUUUACUCGGUUGAGCGCCGGUCGUACUCCUCGAGUUCGGGGCGUGACACUAUUAGCACGACAACACCCAAAGAAGUAAUCCAUACAUCUAAGCAACCGAGUGAAUCCUUUUCUUGGUAUAUUACAUCAACCACGAAUAGUAACCCUAAACCAUUCCCAAGACUUCCAUAUAUCCAUAAGGGGUAAUACAUCAUGUAUCCAGAAAUUCCUUACUACAGUCAUCCUCAAAACCAACCUCUGUGAGUCAUAACCGACCCACAAGUAUGCCUAAGAUCGAAACCAAUACAACACAUAACCAUGCAAUCAAAUCGUCGAUGGCAAACUCCCCUACUUGGCUCAAAGCCAUAGAAUAGAACAUCUAAUAACUCCCAAUACCCAUAACACCCCCCCCCCCCAGUGAUAUUCAACUAAAUCCUUCACAAGCUCCUACAACACAACCCAUAAAAUACUUCAAACCAUCCGCUAACACAAUAUAUCAAUCCUAUAUUCCAAUGGUAUUGAGUCUAUCAUGAAUGAAUAUAAUACGGUAUUUAACUAAGAAAGACCGUUAAAUAUAUUCCUAUCCUAACCGUGAAAUCUUUCCUCGAGCCACAGGUUCAUAAACAAGCUCUCUUUAAUUCUACUCUAAUCUAAACACAGCUUUCCCAAGCAGCAUAGAUAGUAUGGUGAAUUGGUAGCUACAACAAUUCACAAGUUAAAACUAGAAUUAAAGAAACAACCACAAGAUGAUAAUCCAAAUUAAUGAAGAUGUACUUAAUAAACAUUAAUAAUCAUGUCAACCACAACCCUAUAAACUAGAGUGCUUAGCCACUCAUGUUCGUAGUAACAACGUUCCAAGUAUUUUGCAGAAACAAAUUACAAAGAAAAGAUGAAGGAAUGAAAAACUCGAUGAUUUUCUCUUCAAAAAAAUGUUCCCAAUGUCUUCUCUCCUUCCAAAAUAGUCUUCUUAGGUCUACGGUAUGUCAGAAGUCCUCAAAAUAACGUUUUUACAUGUAUUUAUACCAAGUAGGGUUGACCAAGAUGAAAUCUCCCUUUCCUAGCCGAAAUAUGAAAACUUGCAAACUUAUUGCUUUUCAUGCGACACACUGUGCGUCGCCCCAUGCAUCGCACUAGUACUUUUUCCUGUCAGACCAAAAAAACCCAGUCUCUGAACUUUGGAAAUUUCUGACAUAAAAUUACUCUAAUGCGUCGCACAGUGCAUCGCACAGUGCCUCGCACUAGUGCAUUUCUUCAGCAGUUGCUUCUUCCUUGAAUUUUGACAUCCAGAAUUGAUUCUCGACCCCCGAACACGAUCCCAGCUUAAUCCCUUGGGCUUUUACUCAAACUUCAAAGCUCCAAAUAGCUCGAAUUCAUUCCAUAUCAUCUACAUAGCUCAGAAUCACUCCUACAAGGCAUAAAACACGGAAUUAGUGCAAAACACUAGCGAUUAAAGCUCAAACUCAAUUAAAGUGUAGCAAAUUAGAGUAUAAUAAGCGACUAAAAUACGUAAUUAUAUCCUACAAUCAACACCCCACACUUAAAUCAUUGCUCGUCCUCGAGCAAUCAAACUACACUUUAUAUAGACACAACCUUUUUAAACAAUUCUCCUAACUCAUCAUACCAAGAAUCUUUAAAAUAGACUAAGCACAAUAGUGUAACAUCUUCACCUCAAGAUUUGACUCACAAGUAUCAUGCAUUAUUCACAACUCACGUACUUACUCUAACAUAGAGGUCAAUGAUAUUACCUUUCAUUCAUGAAUCAAGUGCCCUCACACAACAAAAGAGAGUAGUUCCACGCAUAAUAAAAUUUAAGAACAAUUAGGAACUCAAGAUAGAAAGAAUUCACUCGUUCUCAGAAAUAACAUUCAUAUGCCACAAAAGAUGCACCAUAGGCUUGCCCGUAGUGUACUACUCUACUAAUCGAGCUCAUUCAGUCUAGGAUCAAGUAGGACUUUAAUUGGUUGUAAUGUAUGCUGCGGGUCGGGUAGGAUACAUUUGGAUAUAAGAGUGACUACACCUCCCUAAGAACUUUAAUACAUACACUUUAACAUUUAAAACCCCACACUUAUGUCAAACCAUAACUCCAUAUUCACAUCAAUGUAUAUUAACUCCUUACUUCUUUAAGCACAAUUACAUCAAGAGUCACCACUAUCAAGGAAUAUUUUUCACAACAAUAUAACUAUUUUUUUUCUUUAUUUUUCAAUUCAAGUGGCUCUUACUUUUUCAAAAUAGUGCACCUUUCUCCUUAUUUCAUUACUUUAACUUUUACAAAGUUCAUUACAAUUCAAGUGCUCAUGAGAGAUAAAAAAGUUCAAAUAAAUGGUUAAUUCAAACAAAUGGGUAAGGCUCGUAAUGUGGUUGCCAAAUAAAUAGGAUUACUUUCUCAAAGGGUUAACUAUUAUACAUAACAAUCAGGCGGGUAAAACAUAUAACUGGUUCAACAAAGAAAUGACUAUAUCACUUCCAAGACUGAACAAAACUACUAUUUUGCUUUGCAAACACACGGGGCAAGUUCUAGACAUCAAAUGCAAUGCACAGAAUAACACACAAACCUCACACACACAUGGCACAUAACUCACUCAAUAUUGGACUCAUCAAGACACUCUAGUCAAAGUAGUUAAGCAAAGUUAAGAUCAUACAAUUUAAGAUACUUAUACAAGAGUCAAAAACUGAGCAUAAGCGUCACAACCAAAGUACUCACUAUUCUCAAGGCUUAACAAAGUCAAGAGAUAUUGCUUCAAUUAAAUUCAUAGCACAAUGGUUCCUACUCCUAAAAAAAUAAAACUAACUAUACCUGAUUCUAACAAAAUCCUUAGAAAAGAACUGUGGCACAAAGAAAAACCAAGAGGAAAUUAUUACACUACCUAACAAAAGAAAAUCUUUUUGUCUUUUUCCUUUCGACUUAAAUCCCUCAAGAAACCCGUCGAAUGAGAUCCAUCGUCGGGAAAAGUCCAACUUUUCUACUUUUUUGCUAUUUUUUUUAUUUCUUAGGAGCUACUAAAAUACUACACAACUACGAAAACAAAAAUAAGAAGUUAACAUUUAUCUAACAUACUACUACUAAUUAUCUAGAGAAAUUCUCCCACCCCAUACUUAAACAAAACAAUAACAAGGGUGGACAAGAAACUCCCUAAAAGGCCAAAGGCCGAAGCAAUAGCGGCUUACGGGGUACUCAGACUUCCCCCAGGCAUGGUCCUUUGUGCGGGUACCCCACACUUAGUUCUCACCAUCUUGCUCGCUUUUGCACUCAUCCAAUGGCUUCGCUUCCUAUGCUUCGAAUCCUACAAAAUAAAAAUAGACACUAGAAAAAUAAUAUAAUAAAAAUAAAAAUAAAAGAAAGAACUAAAGCUGGGUUGCCUCCUAACAAGCACCUGAUUUAACGUCGUGGCACGACACAGAAUCUCGUUUAAUCAUUGGUAAGUAACACCUUCGACUUCUGACGAUCAAAGUCACCUCCAUAAUAGUGCUUUACUCUUUGUCCAUUUACUAAGAAUGUUUUCUCACCACCUAAGACACGCAACUCAAUUGCACCAUGUGGAGUGACUCUCACUACCUCAAACGAGCCCGACCAUCUU